This 74321-nucleotide long non-coding RNA is filed under the name Prunus persica (peach). RNAcentral's name for it is "long non-coding RNA (PPER_LNC003982)". The record is from RNAcentral. Lineage: Eukaryota; Viridiplantae; Streptophyta; Magnoliopsida; Rosales; Rosaceae.
GUAGGUCUGAGGGUACUUGUUGGUGUGCUGCUGCUCUUUCUCUGACUCAGCUGUAUAUGGCAGGUUGUUGUUGUUGGUGGUGAAUUGUGCACCAUUGGUAGUGGUGUAGGGUGCACCGGUGGUUGUGGUGGUGUAGGGUGCACCGGUGUUUGUGGUGGUGUAGUGUCCAACGGUGUUUGUGGGGGUGGGAGGCAGCUGGCCAGACCCAUGGCCAUAGAGACCAUCGAGACCAUAUCCACUUUGGGUCUCUGGAAUGAAGGCUGGCUCUUGCUCUUGCUUUUUCAAAGGGGUUUCUGCUAUGGGGAUCUCCUUCUCAUAGUUGUUGUGGUUGUUGACAUUGGCCACUUUGCUAAAGAAUUGGUUUUCUCUAGCUUGAGCUUGUUGAGAGAAGAGGAGAGAUGCAAGGAAGAAGAGGAAAGAGAACAAUUUUGCAGCAGAAGCCAUAGUGGCAAGUGAACUUGUUGGGAGGCAGCUGCUGUAAACUGAGUGUAUAUUGUGGGGGAGAGCUAGUGGUAGUCCAUUCUUUAUGUAGAGGACCAUUUUUCUUCUCACCCAAAAUUUUCAACUGAUUAGGUGCAAAUGGGCUGGAGGAUGGGUGAUGGUUUGUGGUCCUCAGUGGGGGCAGAACAACAACAAUAUUGAGCACUCUUUUUUUUCCUUUUUCCAGUUAAUUAGUUUAUUUUGUUUUGUUUUUUUUAAAAAAGAUAUGUAUAUACACAUUUUGGAUGCACUUCAUGCUUUCCAUGGAGGAAAACAACAUAAUUAUCUGCCAUUUUCUCUACUAAGAGCAUUUUUAGCAGUUAACCCCUUGCCAUGGCAAGAGGAGCUCCAAGACAGCUACUAUUCAUGUGAAUAGUAGCUGCCUUAGCCCCCAGCAAAGUGUGUUUCCAACAGUUGCCUUUUGCUAUGGCAAAUACUAUUCAUUUUUUUAUUUUUUUUUUCACAACUUUGUUUACUUAAACAAUUAACUUGGAUAAUAUUUUCGGAAUAGAUUUGGGUUCCUACGUGUCAAUACUAUUCAUAUCGGACAAGAUUUUCGGUUUCAAAUUUCAGAUACAUUUCAAAAUUCAAAUUUCAGAUAAAUUUCAAAUGUCAAAUUUCAGAUACAUUUCUAAAUUCAAAUUUCAGAUAAGAUUUUCACCCUCUAAGAUUGCGCCACGUGUCGUAUCUAUUUGCCUAAAUUUUUCUAUAAAACCAGAGGCUCAGCUCAUACCUUCCACACCAGAUCUUCUCUACAUUUCCAUUUCUCAGAUUUUAGAUUUCAUUCUCCAUUCUCAAUGGCAGACAUGCAAGAGGUUUUGGAGAGGCAAGAGCAAGAAACUAGAGAAAGAAUACGUAGACGAGAGCAAAAGGGCGCAGAGAGAACUAGAUGAGCAACUUGGCAUAGCAGUUGCUUUGCUGGAGGAAGAAAACCAGAGCCGCCGUGGUUCAUGAGAAGGCCGUGGCUCGAAUGUGGACAGACAUAGACAUUCUCGGGGUAAGAAUCUUCUGGAAGAUUAUUUUAUCACUACAAGGAAAAUUCCUUUUAGUGACGAAACAGGAUGGUCGCAAUAACAUCAAAGUUCGUCGCCAAAUAUAAAUAGCGACGAAUAUUUUUGGUUGCCAAGGUCGUCGUUGAAAGCUCGUGGCUAAAGAUACCAUGCGACGAAACAAAAUAUCGUCGCUGAAAUAUUUUAGCAACCAAUUUUGUCGUCGCUAAACAGAUCUAAGUUGGUCGCCUAUCGAGAGUGAGUUGCCGCCAAAAUACCAAAAAUUCCCGCGAACAUGGAACUAUUUGGCGACGAAAUAUUUGGUCGCUUGAACAUUUCAGCGACGAAUGUUUUGGUCGUGAAAGAUGUAGUUUAUUUGUAGCAUAUGUUAGUUGGUUUGGUUAUUUUCAGAAUGGGCGACGAAACAGAUUGGUCGCCAAAUCUGUAGAUAUUGGUAUUGUCAGUUGAGCGAUGAAAACUAAUUCGUCGCCAAAAAAGUAUUGAAUUUUUUUAUAAAUAAAAUAUUUAUUUAUAUUUCAAGCUUUGUAACAGAAUAUUAUUUAGUCCAUAAAGUUUUUGAAAAACAGUAAAUAGAUUAAAUGAAUAGAAAUAGCAUAAUUACUAUUCAAAAGAUACCAGUUGUUUAAGCACACAUCAAUAUAUGCUAGAUACAAAAACCCCCAAGAUAUCCUAGAUACAAAAACCAUCAAGUAGCUAGAUACAGAAGCCCCUAGAACCCCAAGGUAGGCUAGAUACAAAAACCAUCAAGUAUGUAGAUGUACACACAACCUAGUGACUAUUUCCAAUAUCAUCAAGAUCCGCAUAAACAUUACGUGAACCACCACUAUUACCUUGAUCAUCAUCACAAGGAGAAUCACCAACAUGCUGGGACAGAACACCUAAACAUGAGGGUAGAGGACCAUCAUGGGUUCGCAUCCACUCAAUGACAUCCAAAAGUUUACCCACUAUGCCCUGAAGCUCACUUACUGUGCCUUUCAACUCACCAACUGUGCCUUGAAGUUCCUCAACCUUUUGCUCUGUGGCAAAAGAAGAGGCAACUCCACCACUAUGCGCACUCUCCACUCGGAGACUAGAACCCAAGCCUCGAAUCCUCUUGCCCUUUACAACCCCAAGCUCUAUAAUCAUGAUCUCUAACUGUUGUGGGAUAGGGAGUGUGACUUGAUCUAGUGGAGUUCCUGAACUCUCUGCCACUUGUUGCUUGGCCUUCUCAUACUCUUCAUUCAUCUUCUUCUACAAAAAGAAGCAAAAUAAAGAUAUGUCAAUAUAUAUAAAUGCAUAAAAAGAAUGAGGUAAAUGGGAUGCCAGUACGAUCAAUUGUGUUCAUAAACUAGCAAUGCCAAUUAUCCUAAUCAAACAGUCACAAACAAAAAUUUCGUUUCAGCUUGAAGCAAAUAAUAAAAGUAAAUUUAGGUUUUACCCAUAAAAAAAUUUUCACUUUUGGAAAAAGCCAAAGCUUUUUCAAAAAAGACAGAAAAACCUCUCAACUUUCAAACCAAAGACAUGCAAAUGUAAAGGAUUCCUUAGGAAAUCAAAAAAUAAAUAAGGGCAAUUUUGUCCAUUUUGGCUUCUUUUAAAAUUUUUCUCUCUCCUUUGGGCUUUUCCAAAGUCUCCCAAUAAUAAAAGGAAAAGGCACAUAAAAAAAUGGAAUAGAUCUCUUUGGAUAUGCAGAUUGCAGAAAGUUAGAAAAUACUCACAGAUCUUAUAAGAUCUUUUUCUGCAUCUCCUGAAAGCAACGACAAUACAAACAAGAAACUUCCAAAAACAAGGAUUAUAAAUAUUUGCCCAGCAACAUGGCCCCCUUAUAAUUGGGCCUAAAUUUUAACUUCUAAGAGCACAACGGGUUAUUCGAACUGAAUUUGUUUAAUAGGAAUUUGGAAUUGGGCCUCCAAAGAGGAAUCGAAGUACAAUUGUAGCAGCUCUGUUUCAAAACAAUCUUAGCAUGCACUUUUUUUGGUCUUCAAUAUAUAAGAUAAUGGAAAAUUUAGAAAACUCAGACACAUCUUCAUUGUGUUUCUAAUUAAUUAGUUCUAUUUGCAAUGGAUAAAGCCAUUAUAUGAUGCUAAAACCAAAGUACACAAUUAGCAUCUAAAAUAAUAGGUCGUCAAAAACUUGCAUGACCAGUCAGCUGAUUUUUUGGAUUGCAUAAUAUGCAAGUCAUUAGUAAAUUGUCAGCAGGUUUAUGUAUUCCUUACCCCUUUAAUUUCAGCAACCUCAUUGAUCCACAUGCUCUUACUCUUAAGAAUAUGCAUGUUGUUCCAAUUGCUAAUGUAUGUAGGAUUUUCACCCUUCUACAUUUUCCCAACAAAAAGAAAAUGAGAAAUACUUGAAAGUAUUACAAUAUAAUAAAUAAAGAAACAUUUAAAGUGACCAAAAGUUAUAAACCUCUCUAGCAGCUUCCAUAUGUUUUAGGAAAGGACGUGACCCGCCUGUAUGAUCAAACUCUUUCUUUUUUCUGUUCUCAGCAUUGGUCUUGCAGCGUUUCUGUUUUGAUUAAAUACAUGAAUUGUUAUGUCUUUUUUUCUAUUUGAUACUUAGAAUAAGUUCCCAAUCAAAAAAUGAAAACUGCAGAUGUUACAUUAGAUACGUGAUAUUGCUCAUUUGUGUAGAACGUAUCAACCAAAUAAUGCCACUCUUCUAGAGUCCUUCGAGUACCAAAUAUCUUUUCAGGGGGAGGUGUUUCUCGUGCAAGAUCAGGGUUAGAAGCAUAUUGCUUAUAGUGUCUGUGGAGCUUUGCUUUCCAUUCUUUAUAAGUUGAGUGCAUAUAGUCAGUAAUAAAUUUCCAUAUAUCCGGAUCCGUUAAGUCCACAUGAAACAUGAACUAAUAUCAAUUAACCAUAAACAAAACAAGUAUUAAUUAUAAUUUUCAAUGCAAAUAGAAACAUUGAAGGACAAAUUUUUCAGUUCACACUAAAAUACAAUGAAGAAUUGAAAUAAAAAGAGAGCUAAAUGAACAAAAUUAAAUUAUAAUCAAUGAAGAAUUAGAUAAGAUUACCUGCAAACCCAAAGCCAUAUCUUUCUUCGUCUCCAAGCUCACUUUUUUCAUCCCUAAAAUAUUCAAGGGAGCUUUGUUGCGAGUGAUUAACCCAAUCUCAGAGACGAACAGUUUUUGAGCCUCAAUAGUCGCCACCAAUUUCUGGGAUGGAUCCAUCCGUAUUGGAAUCAAACUCUUCCUCUUUUUCACAACAUCACAAGUGCUAGCCCCCACAGUUCGGCCACGAGUGUUCUUCCUUUGUGAAGAAGUUUGAGUAUGCGUUCCUUCAUCUAGAAGAAAAACAAUUCUAAAAAUCAAUAACUUGAUUGCACAAAAUAAAAGUAUAAAAAUUAAGGGCACAAAAUAUGGUAUCAGUUACCUUGUUGGCAGGAACCCCCUCCUGAGGCUGAUGAAGCACCUUGUUGUGGCUGAGUUGAUUGUUGUUGUGGCAGUUGACAUGGUUGCUCAAGUGGCUGUGGUGGUAGUAGAGUUGAAGUUUUCUUCUUCUUAUUGUUAUUGUUGCUUAAGGUAGCAGCCCUCGUAAGUGUCAUUCUACACUUACAAACACAUAAACAAAGAGAGAAUACAACAAUAUACUACUAGAUCAUUCCUUGAUAAAAUAAAAAUAAAUGAUUGAACAUCAUACUUCAGCUGUAAUAACAUCAAUUUUCAUCACAAACGUGCUUGAGAUAAAGGAAUUAUUCAUUAAAAAAUGAUUGAACAUCAUACUUUAUCAAUAGGAAAGAAAAAUAACACUCACAUGCAUUUCAUUUACAUGGGAAGGACAUAUACAAACCUUAUCCGAAGAUAUUUCUUUAAUAUACAGACCUUACAGACCUUACCCCUUAAAACAGAUUAAGGAAAACAUAUAGUAACUUGAAGAUAAUUAAGAAACAUAUAGUGCCUAAACAAAAGACAACCUAACACUUCAAUCCAAUUCCAAAUCCUAUAAUCGUCAAUGUGAACACUACCUUCGUCAUCACCGAAAGGUAUUUGUUCAAUAUCAUCGUCAUCAAUAAAAUCUUCAUCCUCCAUAUAAUUUGGGACAUGCACGGACAUGGAGUCUCAUUCUUCUCAUCAACAUGUUGGCUUGCAACUUCCAUAAAUGACUCAAUACCAACACAAUAUUGAUUACUCAACCUGUUUUUAUUGUGUAUCCAAACCCUGUUCAUCUCUAACGCACCUUGUCUCCGUCUUCUUAUACCUCCUAUAAUGGGCCUUCUCCAAUUCAAUCGGUGAUGACUUGAAGCAGUUCCAAAAUUUCAUAACAUGAUUAGAUCGAACACUUAUAUAGAUACAAGCCAAUAACUCUUUCACAUAAUGAUAAGCUAAUAACUGUUUCACAUGAAAAUUAUAAAAAGAGGGAUUCCACAUUAAUUAUGCUUUUCAAGGGUAAGUAUCAAGGUAACAAUAUUUUUUUUUUACGAUUCUUUCAACAUUAUUUUGCAUAAUCUAGUUGAACCCAUGAAACCAGUGAAAAAAAAUGAAGGCAGGUGCAAGAUUUGCAGCUAUUCAUACCUCUAAAGCAAAUAUAGCCUCUUAAGCAAGUAUUUCAAACAACCUAUUGCCCAAAAAAAAAAAAUCAGUUAGACACAGUAAACCCAAGACACAUAGCCUCUUAAACAAAUAUAGCCUCUUAAGCAAGUAAUUCAAACACCCUACUGCAAAAAAGAAAAAGAUAAAAACAAAUCUGUUAGACACUAUUUUUGGAGGGCUUGAGUCCAAAUUAGUCUUCAAACUCAAAAUAGUAUAUGCCUUCGCCUCUAAGUUUCACCACUCAUCAUUAAACAAAAAAAUUAUUUUUCUGAGUUAACUCAAAACAGUAACAUAAUAAGACAUCACAGGAAGCACCAAAUAUCCAAGAUAAAAUUCUCAACAUAAAACCAAAUGGUUCAAAGUAAUAUUGUAAUCAACACAUCCACUUUAUACAGUGAUAACAUGUACAAUGAAUAAAGUCAGGCUUAAGGUCACAUGUCUCUCAUGUAGUAUAUGAAUUAUCCGAAAUUAAUAAUUAGGCUCUUCAUCUCAAUUCCAAAACAAAUUAUUAUUCUUUAUAGUUCUUAAUUAUAUAUGCCCUAAAUGAUUAUAAAAAUCAUUUCAAAUUAACAAAAAUUUACCCUUGAAGCUAAUUGAAUGACCUUGCGUAAAAUUCAAGCUACCAAUGAUCAUCACAUAAAGCCAAAAUGGUUUGUUAAAAAAGAAAAAAAUGUGGCUGGAAGAGCUUGAAAAGGAUUUCCAAAACAAUCAAACCAACAUUGAAGGAUGAUACUCCAUCAGUUAAAUUCUAUUGUCCAAUUAAGUGGUACUACACUUAGACACCAAUACUAAGGGAAAUAAAAAUAAUUGCUAAACUGACGAGUUAAUCUAUGGGAUGAUGAACCUGCAGCUAGCUUAUAUAUAAAAUAUAGAGACAACUCUGCAGCUAGCUUAAUCUAAACUAUAAAGAUAACUCAAUAAGCUACAUUGGCAAAAAAAAUCAAUAAUAAUAACCACACCAAAAAAAAAAAAAAAAAAAAAAAAGAAGAAGCUCAUAGACAAAGGCAAAGGAACCUUGAAACGAAUACACACCCACAUGACCAACUUCCAACUUCUAACUUUUUACUUCAAUUAUAUAAAUGAAUUGUUAUAUUCUUUCUUCCAACAGAUAGUAAAGAAAUUCAGAUUUAAUCCAGAAGUAUCAAGCAAACAUUCAAGACUUGGAAAAUAAUCAAUCAGACUCAAAGCAUUAAAACUAAAAAACUGAAUUAACUAUUGGGUACGUCUGCAAGUGAAACAUCUCAAAUUUGACACAGAACCCACAUCAAAUGCAAAACAAGGCAUUCAUAUCAGACACAAAACCCUACUCAAAUUUGACAUAGAACCCACAAUAACCACUUGAAAAAUAAACGUCAUUGUAUUCAGAAAACUUGAACAGUUGAAUGUUCAAGCAUUUAAGAUAUCAAAAAGGAAAAAUCAAGCACUGAAAUUCAGUUUCGAUUUAAAUUCCUGGGUAUCUAUUUCCGAUUUUCCUUGAUUAUUUUCUCAACAACCAAAUAGAAUCUACAACUGAAAAUCAGCGAUCAAAAGACAAUGAAUGUAAGCUAGACAAGGUAGACUCACCAGAAGCUUUCGUUGAAACACACAGUGAGGAGGACUUAGGAGAUGGAGUUUUCGUAUGGCCGUCGAUUCCUGACCGUGGUAGGGAAAGGCAUGCGAGAUGGAGGAUUGCUCUGCCGACGUCGGUGGAGGAUUGCUUUGCCAAUGUGAGAGCAGGGGAGAGUGGGUCUGCGAGGAACUAACGAGUAAGGAACUUUUUAUUUUUAUUUUUAUAUUUAUACUCUCUAGAUUAGCCCCAAAAACUGUUUGGUCGUCAUAUGCUAACAUACAUAAAACAACGUCGGUUUAUGGUUCAAGCACAAUGAUCUGCGACGAAAAACAAAUGGUCGCUGACCCCCGAAAUUUUUAAGCGCCAAUUAUAACUUAGCGACAACACAUUAAAACUUAGCGACCUAAUAUUUUCGUCGCCAAAACUUUUAGAGUUUCGCACGCACCCAAUUCAGUAAAUCGCGAUCAAAUAUAUGUUUGGUCGCCAAGUCCUUACCUAACCACCAAAAACUUUCGUUGCCUUUAGUUGAUAAAUUAGUCGCUAUUUUGUUGACUCAAGUCAUGAUAGGUGUCUAAAAAUCACGAACUUUUUGGUGACUAACUAGAAAAUUUUCAUAGCCGAUGCCCUUUUUGGCAACCAAAAUAUAGUGCGUCGCUAACAAUUUCGUCUCAAAAGAGGUUUUUCCUUGUAGUGUAUCCCACAUUCUCUAUACUCUGAUGUUCAUUUUCGAGCGAGAUAUAGAAUGCAAUCCCAUUUGUUCAAUAAAGUCAUGCAUAAUAUUUGCAAUUAUGAUGAAUACUUCGUUCAAAAGAAAAAUUGUGCUGGAAAUUUGGGACUUCUUCCCGAGCAAAAGUUCAUAGAUGUGAUACGAAUGUUGGCGUAUGAGUCAUCUGCUGAUCAGGUGGAUGAGGUUGCCCGGACAGGGAAGUCCAUUAUUUUGGAGAGUUUGGUGCGAUUUUGUGAUGCAGUGGAAACUCUGUACACUAGAGACUACCUGUGCAGACCUACGCCCAGGGACCUGUAAUGGCUUCUACAAAAAGCUGAGUCUCGUGGAUUUCCUGGAAUGAUUGGUAGCAUUGACUGCAUACAUUGGCAAUGGAAAAAUUGUCUAACUGCUUGGCAAGGGGAUUACGGAAAUAGGAAAGGGCAGAAAAGUAUCAUCUUGGAAGCAGUUGCUGGUUUCGAUACAUGGGUUUGGCACGCCUUCUUCGGAGUUGCCGAAUCUCAAAACGAUUUGAACGUCCUGGGUCAAUCCCCGGUGUUCAAUGAUGUUUUGAGAGGUGAAGCCCCAAAUAUCACAUAUGAAAUCAACAAUACCAUCUACCAGAACGGGUAUUAUCUAGCUAAUGGCAUCUACCCGAGGUGGAUAACAUUUGUGAAAUCAAUUCCACAUCCCCGAUCCCAUAAGUAAAUUUUUUUGCUGCCUAUCAAGAGGGAUACAGAAAAGAUGUGAAGAGGUGCUUUGGUAUCCUUCAAGCCCGGUCCGCUGUUAUUAGGGUCGCGGCGCGUCUAUUUGACGAGGAGGUGCUUAGGAGUAUAAUGAUGACUUGUAUCAUCCUCCACAACAUGAUUGUGGAAUAUGAGUAUGAUUACGAUGCUGAUGAAGUGUAUGACCAGAUCCCAUGGACACGGCCCUAACACGAAUUUAUGAAAAACCCAUAGGGCCAAAUGGAGAGCCAGUGCAGCAUGAACCGUUAGUUAGAGACGGUAGUUUCAUGCCCCGUAUAAUUGAUCGCUACACGGAUAUGCAAUCGUCGUAUAUUCAUGAACAUCGUCAAGUUGACUUGAUGGAGCAUUUAUGGGUAGUGAAAGACAAUAAAGGUGAAUGAAGUGAAGUGAAGAUGUUUUUUUAAUUUAUUAUGUUUAUGUUGUAUUUUUAGUUAUGCUUUAUUUUUUUUAUCCUUUAGUUGUGAUUUGUUUAUUUUUUUAUGCUUUGGUUGUGGUUUGCUUUUUAUGUAUGGAAUGUUUUGAAUAAAAAGUAAUUUUGUUGAAUAUUUUCUUUAUUCACUAAAAGAAAAUCAAUACAACUAAUAAAAUAAAUCAUCCUGUUCUAGAGCUAAAACCAUAGCUGUCCCAAAUUCAAACAUAAUUAUCAUUAAACUAAAACCAUACAGCUAUUAAGUUUUGAAUAGAGAACUUGAUCUGGAAAUGAGAAUUGACAUAGGAACAAGCUACAAGAAGGAAAAAUCUUAAAUUUAUUGAAUUUAUAAAUAUUACAACAGACAAAUUAAUUGAAUCAAUUCAAUAAGAAAUUGGACAGCUGAAAACAAGUCAAAAUGGUCCAGCUAUGACAUGAUACUAGUACAUAACACUUGUCACUCAAAUUGAUUCCACAAAUUGACUAAAGAAAGAUAAAUAAACAAAGGAGCUGAAAAUCUAUUGAGAAAAAUGCACGCAUAUUGCAUAAUAUGAACAACUAUUGAAAGCAACGUAUCUGAAAUUAUUGUUUAGAUAUCUGAAGGUAAGCCAUCUAAGUCUCUUUUUUUAUUGGGCAAAGAGAUUAUCCAUAAGAUGAAAGCAAACAAACAGUAUAAACAUGAAGCCCAAAGAAAGGCGGGAAACACCUCCUGCAACCAAACAGCCAAGAGAAAAAGACGGCUAUCUGAGUCUAUCCACUAAAUACAGAAGGAUCGAGUCUGGUUAAACCAAGCCCUUGUAAAGACAUGAGUACCUUGUUUAUCUUCAUUUGUUCAUCUUCCCCAAAAACAAAAAACGUGAGAAUCAGGCAUAGGAGGGUGGGAUUUUUUUAUGGGGUUUGGUAUUUAUAUCACCCACUCAAAAGUCUCACACAAUACACCAUUUAACGAAAUACCUCAAAAUCGAUAAGUUUUUUAAUACCAACGUACUUUUUCUAAUCUUUUAAAAGUCCUAAUUGAAUACCACAAGACUUGAAUUGAUUAUUUCAGAGUUUUUCUAUUUAAACCUCAUACUUUUUUUUGUUCACCUCAAUACUUAAAUCAUUAAGCUUUUAAGUUUUAUUAUUGUGUAAAAAGACAAAAAAGAACAUCCAACUUAUUAUUGUAUUUAAACCCCAUACUUUUCUUUGGUUGCUAAUUGCUCAAAUUAAGAACAUAAUUUACUGCUAUCAACAAAAAUAAAAAUAAAAACCACUGCGUGCAAAGUCCAGGUAAUCAACAAGCUCUCUCGUGACUGCUCUUCAUUUGUCAUUCAUGAAGACAUAAAGAUACCCACUUGUAAUUCUAUCGCCAUUAUCUUCUUGACUACUUGUCUUCUUCUUUUUCAAGGAGACUAAUCUUUUUAUUUGUCUUCUCUGAAUUUAUAAUUGUUUCCUUGAAGUUGCUGUUAUCUGGGUUUUUUUAUUUUUCUUUAUGGUAUAUAUUUGAAAGGAUCCUCUGCAGUUGGUUCAGUAUUUCUUUAAGUUUUGGUUACAUUUUCCUUUUCUUUGGGGUUCUUAUUAUCUGGGUUCUUGGUGAUUGUUAAUUGUAUUUGUGCAAAUGGGUUUCUAGAGGUUACGUUAAGUAUUUUUUAUUAUUUUUUCUUAUUGCAUUAGUUUUUAUUUUAUUUAUGUUCUUAAGGAUUCUAGUAAUUACUAACUUAGGUGCUUAAAUUCAUAGUGUUAAUUAUGCAAUUUGUUUUCAUUUGGUUCUGGACGACUAAGAUAAAAAUUGGUGGCUUGAGCCAAGUGUGGCUGUGGAAAUUGAUGGAAGCCUAAGAAAAGAAUGAGGAGAGUCGUUUCAGAAGAUGGACCAAGAAAAGACUGAGGUGCCUAAAACUCCUCCAGCACUAAACACCCGGAGAAGGGCUCCGGUUGCUUCUGGUCGACAUAACACCACACAGAAGGAGAAAGUGGGGUGUCAGGUUGUUGAAAUUUUUUUAAUUAUUUUUUCUCAUGGGUGUGUAUUUAGGGGUAGUUUGAGAAGACAUUGAGGUUUACUUAGAAAUUGUGAAAAUUUGAAUUAAAAAUGGGAGAUUUUGGAAAAGUCCAAAGGAGAGAGAAAAUUUUUAAAAGAAGCAAAAAUGGACAAAAUUGCCCUUAUUUAUUUUUUGAUUUCCUAAGAAAUCCUUUACAUUUGCAUGUCUUUGGUUUGAAAGUUGAGAGGUUAUUCCGUCUUUUUUCAAAAAGCUUUGGCUUUUUCCAAAAGUGAAAGUUUUUUUAUGAGUAAAACCUAAAUUUACUAUUAAAAAUUGGGGUGAACUUAGAAUAUGAGGAAAAGAGAAGUGCGAGGUUUAAAUAGAAAAACUCUUAUUUAAAAUUCUUAAUUGAAUACCACCAAAUUUUUAUUGAUUACAUAAAAAUCCUAAUUGGAUACCACUGAACUUUUAAGCUUCAAAACAAUCUAUUAAAAUCUCAAUUGAAUACACAUAAAUUGCAUAAUGGACAGAUAGAUAAAUACUUGAUACCAAUCUCAUUCGAUACAGGCAUAGAUACUUCACAAAAAUCUCAUCUGCUAAUAUGUAGAUGCCACCUAUGAUCCCAACUACUAGGUUGGUCCACUACUAAAUUAUGAAAUUUGUCAGCAGAGGAGAGAAAUAAUAAAGAUGAUAUUAUUGAAAUUUCCUGUUGGUUAGAUUCUGUUAAAUUUCCCAACUUCUGUCACAUUUAAUUUUUCUAGUGUAUGUGUAUGUGUACGCUGCUGCUCUUCCGCUUCAUGAUGAUGAUUUGCACGACUGGUAAGUAUCAGAUUGGUAAAAAAUAAUACUUCAUUCUUCUUAAUAUAUAACAAAUAGGAAGGUUAUAUAUACAGAGCCUAGGAAACUAUUCUAGGAAAGUAAUUAUGUUCCUAUAAUCUUGCAUAAUCAAAUAGUUGACUUAGACUAAUUAGGAAUGUACAGCUCAUUGACACUCCCCCUCAAGUUGGAGCAUAUAUGUCAUCAAUGCCCAACUUGCUAAGUGAGUUGUGAAAUACCCUGCCUGUGACUGCUUUGGUAAGGACAUCUGCAAGUUGAUCUUCGGAUUUAACAAAUGAUACCUUAAUGAUCUUUGCCUCGAGCUUCUCCUUGAUGAAAUGUCUGUCAACUUCAACAUGCUUGGUUCUAUCAUGUUGCACUGGAUUAUGUGCAAUGUCUAUUGCAGCUUUGUUGUCACAAUUCAGUUGCAUGGCAUGUUUAGGUUUGAACCCCAAUUCCUCCAACAAAUUCCUUAUCCAGAGUAGCUCACAUACUCCGUGUGCCAUACCUCGAUAUUCUGCUUCAGCACUUGAUCUUGACACUACUUUCUGUUUUUUACUUCGCCAAGAUACUAGAUUGCCUCCUACAAAGGUAAAGUAUCCCGACGUAGAUCGCCUGUUAGUAACAGAGCCCGCCCAGUCUGCAUCAGUGUGACCCUCAACAUCUAGAUGACCAUGUCGUGCGAACAUCAAUCCUCUUCCAGGAGAUGACUUCAAGUAUCUCAAAAUUCGGUUUACCGCAUCCAUGUGGGCUUCACUUGGUGCAUGCAUGAACUGACUCACCACACUUACAGCAUAUGCUAUAUCAGGUCUAGUGUGUCCUAGAUAGAUUAACUUACCCACAAGGCGUUGAUAUCUUUCUUUGUUGGUGGGUACUUGAUCAGGAUAUUCACCAAGCUGAUGAUUCAACUCCAUUGGCGUAUCUGCUGGUUUGCUGGCUAACAUUCCAGUGUCAGUCAAAAUGUCAAGGAUAUAUUUCCGUUGUGAUAGAAAUAUUCCUUGUUCUGAACGAGCCACUUCGAUGCCUAGGAAAUACUUCAGAGCACCAAGAUCUUUCAUUUCAAACUCACUUGCCAAGUGGUGCUGCAAUGCUGCCUUUUCUAUUGGGUCAUUCCCGGUAACUACCAUGUCAUCAACAUAUACAAUAAGGGCAGUGACUUUACCUUUCUUAUGUUUCAGGAAAAGAGUAUGAUCUGAGUUACUUUGCUUGUAUCCAAAAUCCUUCAUUGAUUUGCUGAACUUUCCAAACCAUGCUCUGGGUGACUGCUUCAAGCCAUAAAGAGACUUUCUCAGUUUACACACCAUGUUGCUAGUAUUGGGCCCCAUCUUGCAUCCUGGAGGGGAAUCCAUAUAGACUUCUUCUUCUAGGUCGCCAUGCAGGAAGGCAUUUUUGACAUCAAACUGGUGUAAUGGCCAGUUUAGGUUUGCUGCCAGAGAAAGAAGUACCCGAAUUGUGUUUAUCUUGGCUACAGGGGCAAAUGUCUCCCCAUAGUCAAUCCCAUAAGUCUGAGUAUAACCUUUCGCCACCAGUCUUGCUUUGUAUCGUUCAAUGGUGCCAUCUGCCUUGAACUUUACUGUAUAUAUCCAUCUACAACCCACUGUUCUCUUCCCUUUGGGAAGGAUAGUCAUCUUCCAAGUGGAAUUCUUCUGGAGGGCCUCCAUUUCAUCAUUCAUCGCUUGAGUCCACUUGGGAUCUUUCAGAGCUUCCUGCACAUUACUUGGAAUAGAUACAGUGGAUAAUUGACAUACAAAUGAUGCACAUGACGGAGACAACCUAUGUAGGGACACAUGAUUAGCAAUAGGGUAUUUAACUUUUGUUUUUGGGUCCGGGUCAUACUGUUGUCUAGGAAUCCCUCUAGUGGUACGAAUAGGUAACUGAUAACCUGUGUUUCCUGUAUGACUCGACUCAUGUAAAGUGCUUAAGUUGGAGUUUAAAUGCUCAGUUACCUGCGCGGAAUCUUCAGGACCUGAUUGGAUGAUUGGUGAUGGUACUGUAGUAGGAGGGAAAUUAUCUGAACCAUCAUAUGGAGUUUCCAGUAACUCUUGAUCUUGUUGUACUACUGUAGCUGGUUGCUCGGACACUGACUGCUCUAAAACAGUUUGUUGAAUUUGGAUGCUCUGAGUAUCUUCUGCAAAGAUAGAGCUCUCCCCCUGCAGAGGAUGCUCAGAAACUCCCCCUGAGUAAUAGAACUCACUCUCGUGGAAAGUCACAUCGGCGGUAACAUGCAUGGUCUGAGUAGGAGGAUGGAAACACUUAUAGCCCUUCUGAGUGUCAGCAUAACCCACAAAGACACAACGCAGUGCACACGGAUCAAGCUUGCCACGCUGAUGUGGAUACACCUGAACAUAAGCAACACAACCAAAGACACGUGGUUCGAGAUUUGGUGUGGAUGGCAUGGUGAGGAGAGUGGUCAAUGUCUGAAAUGGAGUUUGAUACUGAAGAGUGCUAGAUGGUGUUCUAUUAAUGAGGUAAGCAGCAGAACAAAGAGCCUCCCCCCAAAAAUGAUGAGGCAUACGGGCCUCAAAUAAAGAGGCACGAACAACCUCCAAGAGAUGACGAUUCUUACGCUCUGCGACGCCAUUCUGUUGUGGUGUAUAGGCACAUGUGGUUUGAUGAACAAUUCCAUGUUGACUUAAAAAAUUAUGUAGGUCAUGGUUGACGUACUCUCCUCCAUUGUCAGACCGAAGCGUAGUGAUUUUCUUGUCAAAUUGAGUAGCAACAUAUUGAUAAAAUAACUUGAAUUUGGCGGUGACAUCACUUUUCUGCUUUAAGGGAAAAACCCAGGUCAUCCGGGUGCAAUCAUCAAUAAAUGUCAUAAACCACUUAAAACCGCUAAUAGUGGGAACUCGUGAUGGUCCCCAAACAUCAGAAUGGACAAUCAUGAAAGGCAAAGAACUUUUAUUCAAUCUUAAUGGGUAAGAAAUACGAUGACUUUUGGCCAAAAUGCAAGUUUCACAAUGAAAGUCUGAUUCAGCAAACUGGGAAAACAAAUCUGGAAAUAAAAGUUUCAGAUAACCAAAAGAAGCAUGACCUAAUCGUCUAUGCCAUAGCCAAAUUUUCUUCAUCCUGAUAGACUCAUCUCCUCUCACAUGAUGUGUCUGACUCAAUCUUGUACUGCUGUCUUCUGUCAAGUCCAGAUAAUACAACUUUCCCCUCCUAGUACCACAUCCAAUCACGGUCCUGGUGAGAAGAUCCUGAAAUAGACAAUACAAUGGCCAAAAACACACGGUACAAUUAAGGGAAUCAAUGAUUUGAGGAACAGAUAACAAGUCAUAGUCGAGUGAAGGGACAACUAAGACAUGAUCAAGACUUAAUGAAGAUGUAAGAGAUAAAGACCCUUCUCCCAUAACUUGGGAGGUGGUUCCAUUGGCACUGGUAAUAUGUGUUUGGCUUGAUGGUUUGGUAGAGUGCAACCCAGUAAAACUAGAUGUCAUGUGAUCAGUGGCGCCAGUGUCAAUAAUCCAUGAUCUAUUACAAGUAAGUGAAGAUGUGCAAGAGGUACCUGAGGUGGCCAAGGCCUUGGAGCCAUAUGUACCUGAUGGAGGUUCUGAUGCAGUCUCCUCGGAUGACUGAGCGAAUGCAAAUGAGGCUCUGGUAGAAUCCUUUUUCCGCGCUUUGUGGACCCAUCCUUCUGGAUAACCAAUGAUCUCAUAACAGCCCUUAAUGGUGUGGUUAUCUAAACCACAUUUGGUACACUUCAUUGGAGGCCGGUUACGAGUAGGGUCGACACUAUAGUUGUUCGGCCGAGAUUGUUUGGACCUUGCAGUAGCCAAGGCUGUGGCUUCGGAGGUUACACCAACUUCAGACAUGGUUCCCUGUCGGUUACUCUCUCUUUUAAUAUGUGCAUAUGCGGCCUCCAGUUCGGGUUUUGGCUCCAUCCGCAAAAUCUCUCCUCGGAUUUGAUCGAAAUUAUUGUACAAACCUGCAAGAAAUAUAUAAACUCGGAGACGAUCAACCUCUUUGCGUCUAGUCUCAAUGUCUUUCGGAUGCUCCAUGGUGCUUGGACUUAAUUGAUCAAGCUCCUGAAAAAUCUCAAUGAGCUCACUGUAAUAUUUGGCAACUGAUGCGCCAGCUUGCUUCAUUAUGAAUGACCGUCUGUGAAGGUCAUAAAUCUUGGCUUCAUCAGCACCAUCUGAAUAGGUUUGCUUGAUUGCAGCCCAGACUUGCUUUGCUGUGUCAUAACGAAUAAAUCGUUUAAUCUGAUUAGGUUGCAUGGCGUCGAACAACCAACUCUUGACUUGGCAAUCCGAUGCACGCCAUUUAUUAAAUGUGGGAUCUGUGUCUGCAGGUUGGGCAAUAUCACCGGUCAAGUGGCCAUGUUUUUCUCGCCCAGCUAUCUUCAUCUCUAUGAUUUGAUGCCAUAGAGAAUAAUUAUUCUCAUCCAGUUUGAUUCCUGCGGAGAAGUUGGAGGUGUCACUCUGCAAAGUGACGAUUUGUGUGGUAGUUUUGGAGCCUCCCGACACCAAGGAUUGAUUGGUGUUUGCUGACCCAUCAUCGUUGGCCAUGAUAUUGGCUGACACCCAAUGAAAAAAGGACAAAAAAGAAAUAUCAAGUUGAGGAAAAGCAAGUGCACGGUGGACAAAGGCAAUAAGACAAACUGUUUUGCAAUAAGAAAUAUUGGGUUGAAAGGGAAAAAAAAAGAACAAUAUGGGAACGGUUUGAAUGGGUCUGUGAGUGGAAAGUGAUUUGCAAUAUUGCAAAACGUGAUUUGACUAGAGGAAAGGUUUGAAUGGGUUUGUAAGAUGGAAUAUGGGUGGUAUUGGUGCUGGGUUUGUGAGAUGGAAUAUUGCUUUUGGUGCUGGUGCUGGUGCUGCGUAAUAGAUGGAAUAUUGCAAAACGGUGAUUUGAGAUGGAAUAUGGGCUGGUGCUGGGUCUGUAUGACGGCUGUUGCUGCGGAAGCGAUUAGGGUUAGGGCAAGAGACAGUCAAGAUUGACUGCUCUGAUACCAUAUCAGAUUGGUAAAAAAUAAUACUUCAUUCUUCUUAAUAUAUAACAAAUAGGAAGGUUAUAUAUACAGAGCCUAGGAAACUAUUCUAGGAAAGUAAUUAUGUUCCUAUAAUCUUGCAUAAUCAAAUAGUUGACUUAGACUAAUUAGGAAUGUACAGCUCAUUGACAGUAAGUAUUGGCGUCGGCCACCAUGGGAGCACAAAAGGAAAGACUGGGAAGACAGAUCUCCCUCCCCAUCUUAAACUGAAAGGUGUGAAUUGAGUGGUCUAAGUGGUAUCCUUUAACGUUCUUGCACCAAUGUUGUACAUGACAAUGCGACCAAACAAUUGUAGAUACAAGACAUCCUCAUUAUUUGGAUCAAAAGCUAGCACCAAAACCCUUUUUGUCCUCCCAUGGUGCUCAUCGUUCCACUUUUUGGUAAGAGGAUUUGCCGAGAUUAAGUCGAACAUGCGAGCUGUGUCUACCAAACACCAUUUUGCAGUCUCCUUGACUUGACCAUGACCUUUCCAAUCCCAAUCCCAAACACCAUGACCAUCGUCUUUCAACUCCCAAACACUCACAGCACCUAGAGUGUGAGCAGGAUCAUCAUGAUCUAAAUUGGUAGAGGAGAAGACGCACAUCCGCAGACACCCUUCUCCUCCUCCUCCACACUCACUUAGGAAGUCAAACCUUCGAGAUUCGAUUUCAGGCUUAUCAAUGUAACGAAAGACAUAUAUACUAUCACCAAGCUGGUCACGAGGAGAGUAGAGAUCCAACCCAAUAGUAAAGCCCUCAACAUCCCUCCACCAAUACAAGCUUCCAUUGUGAGCAACCCCGGGAUAGGGAGCCAAUUUGCUAAAACAAAACCUCCGUGGGUUAUUUACAAGUCCUUUGUCCAUUGACCUGUCUCAGAAGAAAAGAUCUCCAGCUAGAAUUCGCUGGAAACCUCCGGAAAGUCCAAUUUAUCGUCAUUUAUUCGCACAACCUUGUUGUAUGCUAUAGGAUCACUAUAUUAUUGCACAAUUCUUAAAAUAUAAACAGUAGCAAAAUUAUGAAAUCUGUAUGAAUGUGCAAAUAUAUAAAUUAAGUACAGAAACUGACUUUUAUUGAAGAUAGAGGCUUGCGUAUUUGCAAUGUCCUAAAGACAGAAUUUAGCCUCUUCUCAGUGCUUGAAGUUCAACAGGCGUCUAUCUCCCAGGAUUCAACUAUCUAUAAUUCAAGGGUUGGUGUGCCUCUCUCCAAUACAGUUGGUAACUUUAAAAUAAUAUGAGCAGUUAGUAUCCGUUAUACCUGUUCAAAUUCAAACAAAAAGAUAAGUCUUUCUGGUUUGAAUUUAACUUCUGCCAAAGAAAUCCGAAAAAUAAAAAUAAUUAUUUUAUUUUCGGGCUAGGUAUAUUUCUUUUAUUUUCCAGAGACCCAAGGCCCAAGGCCCAAGUCUUGAUUAUUUAAAUAUUAAUAUUAAUCAAGCAAGCCAAUCAUGAUAGUCUUUACUACCAAGCCCAUCAGCCCACCAAUCCUUAUUUAAUUGAUGUUAAGGUUUCAUGCUUAUAAAGCAUAUGGAAUUUUUUGUUUUCUCCAAUGUGGGACAUUUGCUUUCAAACUUCCAACAUACUCAACAUUAAUAAGAUUAUGAUUAAGCUGAAUAUUGACACUCCUCCUACUAGAUCUUUCUAGAUCUGCUGCUUGCUUUCGAUAGUAGGGAUCGCAUAUGAAUCCAACCAUUACGCACUUGUGGCAUCCUCCUGAUCCACGUCGAGGUCCACGUCGGGGGGGAGAGGGAGAGCAUCCCAUUGCUUGGUGUAUGGAUUGCAGAUGUAGUAAUCACGUUGAUAAUACGUGGUUGCACAACACAAAAUUAAAUCAUUAUAUGCUCCUAUCACAACUGGCUCACCUUUAUAAGGAUCAACAAUAUCAGCUUGGAAACAAGGGAGGAAACUCAGAGACAACUCAUGUUCAUGUGGUUGAUGAUCAGGCUCCGAUGACAUGGAAAAAAAAUUUCCUCUCACAUGGUUCAUCUUCAUCGGGCUGCUCCGAUGAUGACGUGGAAAGAAAUGUACUUCUUCUUCUUGUUGUACGCCUUCUAUCCGAGAUGGUUAUAGCACGUGCACGUGCACGUGCAAUGAUGUGGUUUUGGUUGCCACUUUGGAUUUGGAAAUAGUGUCGAAAAAAAUAAGGAUCAAAGAUGAGACUGAACCAACGUUUGGAGACACACAUGCAUCGAGCCGCACACUUAGGAGGGAGUCGGGAAAGAAUUUCUAGCAAAACAAACUCAGGGAGAUCAUCAAGACUAAUAUUCAUGGUUAUGGCUAACUCUUUCGAUAUUGGUUUUUCGGGUGCUCACCUUUUUGAUCUUUUUAAUGGAGACUGAUGAUGAUCAGAGGCUUCUCCAAUAGGUUUGGAUUGGGAUAUUCUACUGCUCCAACUCCUUUUGGUAGCACCAGGUCUCAUCAUGGCGCCGAUUGAUCCGUGUGCAGUUUGACUGACUAUUGCAAUUUGCAGAGAGGAUUUGGGUCUUGAAACAUACAUAGCUACUUAUCCUACUUUUAAUCACUAUAUAUAUAGGAACACAUAUAUAUAUAUAUAUAUAUAUAUAUAUUUUAUUUUUUUUUUUUGGGGGGUCGAAAAUAGGAAAAGAUAUCUAUAAAAAUAAAAAAAAGGCAAGCAAUCACUAAUUAUUAAUUUAUAAAUAGGAAAGAAAUCCUCAUACGAAUAGGAAUUAAUUUAUAAAGGAAAUAUAUAUAUUUUUUUUUUGGGGUCGAAAAUAGGAAAAGAUAUCCAUAAAACAAAUAGGCAAGCAAUCACUAAUUAUUAAUUUAUAAAUAGGAAAGAAAUCCCCAUACGAAUAAGAAUUAAUUUAUGAAGGAAAUAUAUAUAUUUAUAAGCCCUGCAAAUUUGGCAAGUUUUUCAAUAAAGAAAAUGCUAAUCACAAUCGCAAACCGUUGAUUAAAAUGAACCUCAUUAUCGCAGUUUUUACUGAUGCAUGCAUUGAAGGCUGUAUAUCGAAUUUUUAUAAAUUAAUUGAUUACAGACCACACAUAAGUAAUUUCUGAUCGUUGAUGAAAUGCUAGCCCCUCAUGCAUCAAUGGUCUAAAAUCACUUACUCGGGUGAAAGUGACUGACCGUAGCACACCCCAUUGACCUUUUCUUUCUUCUUAUCAAAGUUCAAACUCAAAGUGUUUAUAGUGGGUUACAUAAUGGGCUGCACAACCCUUCCAGAUUGUUUAGUAUUUCUUCGGGCUUGUGCUUUAAGAAUGGUAUUUCUGAGAAAUGUUAAACCACAAGGUAUGGGCAACCACCCAUUGCCCAUUACAAAGAAAAGUCCAUUGGGCUUAAUUGUGGGGUUCAUACUUUACAUUGAAGGGAAUCAAAAUUGAAGUUUAAGAUUAAGACCUACACUUGCCCUCCACUUUCUUGACUGCUUGUGCUUGAUCAGGCAGGCAGGCUGGUGUGUAAGUAGAUUUUUAUUUAUUUAUAGGUCACUUUACAGUAAGAUGCUAAAUAAGUUGAGGAUAGAUAGAGACGGUGGGAGGACACUAUGAUGAAACUGAAAAUUUUAAUGGGGUGGGGAUGAUUAUUACUCCUACAUGCUCUCAUGAGUACUAGGACUGCAAUUGUAUGCCCUUUUGGUGAAAUGGGCCUCUAUAUUCAUAAAGACUACCAAAUUUUCAAGAACAGCUUUUGCUGCUAGAGAACCUGUUGCCCCUAUAUCUGGUCUCAAUUAAUUGGGUUAGUUAGUUCAUAAUAUAAAUGCACGUGAAUGCAUUACUUGGAUGGAUGAGGAAGAUGGCAAGAAAACACACUCAGCUUACUUCUGAUGAAACGGAAUUGAAAGAAAAGAAAGUUUUGGUGAGGUUUUAAAUUGUCUUGAUUUGGCAGGGGACGACCCAUUAGUGUAGUGGUUUGGAGUAAUUGCUCUUGAGGCAAGGUUCUGAGUUCAAAUCCUAACAUCCGUUUUGUGUGUGAGUUUAGUAUAUUAUCGUCUCUCUCAACAAGAAAGGUCCUUCAAAAAAUGUCUUGAUUUGUAGCUAGCUGUGCUCUUUAUUGAAUGAAUAGGUAAUGAAGCUUUAAAACUGGACCAAACUUAACGCUGAAAUUACAAGAUAGCUUUUGCUCCUAGAGGCCCUUCUACCCUCUAUCUGGUCCCAAUUAAGUUGGUUGUUUGUAUAAUAUAAAUGCUUAUUAAUAAUAUACAUGCAUUGGGUGGAUGGUUAAAAAAAACAGAGUUACUCUGUUACUCAAACUUUGAUAGUUCAAUUCCACAGCAUACUGGGAUUAAUUGGAGACGACAAAACUACAGUUAAUAUACCUUCUGGCUUCACAAACGACAUAGAAAUGGAACAUUUUGAGGUUAAAGGUUGAUGCGCGUUGGCAGCUCAGAUCAUGACAAUCAAAUAUCAAAUCUGGAAGUUGAUUUUGUUCUUUUUGCUCCACUUUCUUUUGUGCAAUGUACAGUAUAAGAUGGGCGCAAAGGAAACCCACAUAGCUGUAGUUUUGUGUAUAACCAUCCAAGGAAGGGAAAAAAGAAAAAGUUAUUGGUCAAAAAGAUAGAGACCCCAGCUUCCCCGCAAUUGAAGUUGAAUGACAUUUUGCUUUUUACCAACUAUUUACUCUUGUGGAAAAUGCAUACAGUGCAUGCCGCCUGGUCUGGCCAUAUUGAAAACUUGAAAGCAACCUUGAUCUCAGUCUCCUUCCUUUGUCUUUUACAAUAUGACUAUGAGCCUGCUAGGAGCUAGCCUAGGGCUCAAGGCUUAGGUGAGCGUAGGUGAUGACCUUGUUAUGAACGAGCCUGAAUGAACAAAUAUGAACUAUUUUGCAGAAAUAAGACCAACCAACUUUGCAAAUUAAAGAGUUAAAAUAAGACAAAUGCUCUUAUAAGCAGAAGCUACCAUCAUAUACACUUUAUUGACUGUUUGUUUCAACUCAAGUAGUCCACAAACUUCAGCUUUUUCAAAGCAUGAACAUUAAGCACUUAUGAAAAACCAGAGACAACAGAUACAUAAUUAAAUAAACAUUACAAAAACCCUUCAUAAAAUAUUCUAUUUUUCUUGUGUUUUUAACUCCCACUUGAAUAUAUGAUCUGAGGAUAAAUAUAUCAAACACAGCAAAGCGGUACUAAUCAAAACAAGUCUCAGCUUAUGGCACGAACUCUUCUUCACUCUCUUGGAACUGAUCCUCGUUCUGGUUCACAUUGUUGUUGCCAUAGUUACCCCUGUUGUUGUACCAGUGUCUUGAAUCCACUACCCUUGAAUUUUCAUACUGGUUCUGAUUGUAGUUGUUCUCGCUCUGAGCGUCAUAGUAGUACUUUCCAUUCUCCAAAAACCUUGUGUCACUCAUGCCCUGCUUCUCAGCAUUGUAGUAGUUGUUGCUUUGGUAAUUGGUUGGGGUUGUGUAGCUGCUCUGUGUAAGCCUUGCAUCACUCAAGCCCUGCUUCUCCCCAUUGUAGUUGUUGCGGGUGUUUUGGUAAUUGGUUGGGGUUGUGGUUGUGGUGUAGCUGCUCUGUGUGAACCUUGUGUCACUUGGGUUGCUCUCAAAAUUGCCAUUGUAGUAAAAGUUGUUCUUGUUGGGGCGGUAUUGGGUGCUGUAGGUCUCAGGGUACUUGUUGGUGUGCUGCUGCUCUUUCUCUGACUCAGCUGUAUAUGGCAGGUUGUUGUUGUUGGUGGUGAAUUGUGCACCAUUGGUGGUGGUGUAGGGUGCACCGGUGGUUGUGGUGGUGUAGGGUGCACCGGUGUUUGUGGUGGUGGGAGGCAGCUGGCCAGACUCAUGGCCAUAGAGACCAUAUCCACUUUGGGUCUCUGGAAUGAAGGCUGGCUCUUGCUCUUGCCUUUUCACAGGGGUUUCUGUUUUGGGGACCUCUGUCUCCUUCUCAUAGUUUUUGUUGUUGUUGACAUUGGCCACUUUGCUAAAGAAUUGGCUUUCUCUAGCUUGAGCUUGUUGAGAGAAGAGGAGAGAUGCAAGGAAGAAGAGGAAAGAGAACAAUUUUGCAGCAGAAGCCAUAGUGGCAAGUGAACUUGUUGGGAGGCAGCUGCUGUAAACUGAGUGUAUGUAGUGGGGGAGAGCUAGUGGUAGUCCGUUCUUUAUAUAGAGGACCCUUUUUCUUUUCUCACCCAAAAUUUUCAACUGAUUAGGUGCAAAUGGGCUGGAGGAUGGGUGAUGGUUUGUGGUCCCCAGUGGGGGUAGAACUUCAACAAUAUUGAGUACCUUUCUUUUCCUUUUUUCCAGUUAAUUAGUUUAUUUUGUUUUGUUUUUAAAAAAAGAUAUGCAUAUACACAUUACUUUUUCCCCUUGGAUGCACUUCAUGCUUUCCAUGGAGGAAAACAACAUAAUUAUCUGCCAUUUUUCUCUACUAAAAGCCAGCCAGCCAGUCUGCUCAUUCUGAACUUGCUUAACAUUUAGCUUAGAUGACCCAUGAUUUUUCUUUUCUUCUAAGCAAAUCAAAAUAUGAUAAGAUAAAUUAGAAUAAAACCCAGCUAGCAGAAUUAACAAGAAAUAUGGAACUUUAAUUGUGGGUGUUGAUGGUGUUCCCUAAAGUUGAGGGAAAAAAAAUUAAAAUAAAGAGGCAGCAACCACAAAGGAUAAUUUGGAAAUUAACUACAUGGUGCCAAAGAUGAACCAGGACAUUGAGGUGGCCGUCUAAUUAUGCGUGGAUUGUGGAGUGGGUGGGGCAUGCAUAUAUAAUAUCAUAUGGUGCACGCAGCACGCAGCACGCAGCAUGUGCCCUCUUUGCUCGGUCAAAUUUAAGAUACGUAUCUAACCUCUACUGAAAAAGAAAGAGUACUCAAGACUGAAACACUCAUGUUCUAAGUCCCUGUCAUGUUUUAGAGUUGUGCUACCGUCAGUCCCGUUGAGUGCUUGACGCGUUCUCAGCUGUUGAUGAGUGCACUGAAAGCCGAAACUUCAACCUUGUUCUGGUUCAGCUCAUUUACUGCUUCCCUGCGAUUUAAACCAGUAUUAGUAAUGUCUUCUUCUGUUAGUUGGAAUAUUUAAGUUGCAUAACCAAAACCUAGUAGACGGACAGAUAGAUAAAUACUCGAUACCAAUCUCAUUCGAUAUAGGGGUCCAAUUGGUGAAUAGUAGAUAGAUACUUCACAAAAAUCUCAUCUGCUAAUAUGUAGAUGCCACUAUGAUCCCAACUACUGGGUCGGUCCACUACUAAAUUAUGAAAUUUGUCAACAGAGGAGAGAAAUAAUAAAGAUGAUAUUGAAAUUUCCUGUUGGUUAGGAUUUGUUAAAUUUCCCAACUUCUGUCACAUUUAAUUUUUCUAAAGGUCAUUUUUAAAGGAAAAGAGAGGAAGGUUAAAGAAGCUUCGAUGCCUACAUGAGCCACUAGCCCCUGUCCUCCCACAAAAGACUCAAAGCAUUACUUCUAGUUGCAUCAUGAAAGCCGAAGCAAGGGAAGAAAGAACAGGUACAUGCUAUCAUUGAAGUUGAUUUUGGAAAGCAAAAGCGUGUUAGCACCUUCCUCUGAAAAAGAGCUUAGUCUUAAAGCAGUAAAAAAAAAAAAAAAACCUUUGAAAAAGCAGCCCUUUAGGUUAACUUAUAAAUCUCACAUUAUGUAAGUUGUUUUUUUCCUUGUAAUUAUCUUAAACUAAGUUUGUUUUUUUUGUUAUAUUGGAAGGAAAAAAAUUACUAUGGAGUUUCGAUCUUGAGUGUCAAGCAGAGAGGGUCACAACCACUGUGAUAACUCCACUCGACAUUUUAAAACCAAGUUUACUUAAGCCUUGGUGAGAUUUUCAACAGUCUCGGUGAGUGGUUAACUUACCCAAACAAAACAACCAACAAAGUGAGACUUUUAAAAAGAUAAACAAAACAUAUAGUAGCCUCCCUCAUCUCAAGGCAUCCAAGAGGCAAGAGGACCAAGAUCCAAAUUUCACAUCAAGCUUUCAUGUGGCAUUCCAUUUGGUGAUUGAAGUUUGCAUGUGGCAAGUAAGUCUUCAAUGUUUGGUUAUAGCAGUUGCAGAAUUAAAGCACUUGAUUGAUAGAAAGGGUGGGGGCCAUUGUCCUUUUCUUCUCUCUCCUCAACCUCCUUCCUCAAUGGAAAAUGGGGUUCACCCACCAACACCCCUCUCUUCCUCACUCAAAGCAAUAGACAAAGGAAGAUGCUUUUGUCAACGUUUGUGCUUCACAAAGCAGCCAGAGCCUUUUCUUUUUCUUUAUAUUUCUUUUCAUUUUUCUUUUUAUUGAAUUAUGUGAAAUUUGUUGCGCGAUUAGCGGAAGGAAUAGUUUCAGCCUUUCCAAUACGUUUUUUCUUCUCUCUUUUUUUCUCUGUCCUUUCCUUUUGUUUCUCUUGCAGACUUUGAGUUUUGAACAAAAAUUAGUGGGAGCUCAAAAUUAAUAAUACAUUUAUCUGUAAAAGACUACUGAUUUCAGCUGAAAGCUAGCUAGUAUAAAAAGUUAUAAACUCAUUAUUUUAUAUAUAAAUAUAGAUAUAUAUAGAAAAAAGAAGCAUUAAUAAUAAAACAUAGAUUUCUCAAAGACCCAGAUACAAGAAGAGUAAGAUAAGAUGUUAACAACAGGAACCACUUUUAAUUUAAAGAAAUGGGUUCCAAAACAGAAGAGAAAGCAACAAGAGAUUGGGAACCAAAAUAGGAAGCACAGGAUUAACAUCACCCCCAAGGCGUUUUCUUCUCAUCCUCUUCCUAAAAUUCUCUCUCCUCUGCUCAUCACCCCACUGAGCUUCCUCUAUUCCUUUUGCAAGAAUCAAUGGCGGGGGCAGGUGAUAAGGGCAUUUGGACCUCCAAGAAGUCUCAGGAAACCCAAAUCUGGAGACCCUUUUGAGGAAGAGAGAGAGGCCCCAUUGUAGAUGGAUAGGAGGGAAGGUGGAUUUGGUGCAGAGGACUGGUGGGUAGUCCCAGUUUAGGUAGCAUGGGAUUUGGGUGGAGAUGAAGAACUGAGAGUGAAGAGGUGGUGUGGUUGUUGGGUUGAUUAGGACAUGAGUUAAGGCAUGGAGCCUUUGCUCCCAUGUCGUGUCUUCCAUUUUUUUCUUACUUAUCUCUAUCCCAAGAAUCAAGAUGAGGUUGGUUGACUUGAGAGGUGGUAGGCGCUAGGCGGCCGCCUAGGCGGUCCUCCUUAUUUUUCCGGAAAUAUAUUUAAAGAGUAUAGCCGGGCGGCUAUACUCUUAAUAUGUAUAUAUACAUAGAGUUCUUUAUUUUAUUUUAUUUUUUUGGUUUGAAAAGAUGUUUUAAAGGUUAAGCUCAAUUCUUUUUCUUUUAAUUACAUAAUCUGUUAGAUUAGUUAAAUUUCUAAUAGCACUAGUAUUCAAACUUAAGAAAAAUAUGAAGUUAAUACCUUGGUCCUUAUUUAGAAAAUAAAAUUAAUAACUACAUUGCUGCGAGAUGAUUUGAAUUUUAUGAAAUGUGGCCAAUAAGAAGAAAAGAAUUUUAUUGAUUAUAAAAUCAGUGGUCUUUUUUCUCUUGGGUUGAAAGUAGAAUCAGCGUUCUUCUAAACUGAAGGCAUCCUCAAAGAACACGUUACAUCCCUUGGUCGUUUUUGUAAAACUCAAUAAAUUGUAAUCGUGCAAUUUACAGCUUAAAGUCUUUACUUGAGGCUAUAGGUAUAUAGCCUGUAGUUAUUACACUUUGAAUUGCAAUAGAACUACAUAUACACAAGUAGUGGUGGCUGUCUCUAUAGUACCCUCUCAUUGCCACAGGCUCACAGCUCCUUAUCUGGAACAGAUAUGCUAUUAGAAAGCUUAUUGACCAUUGAUUCAAAUCUGUAAAAUGUUGCUACUGGGGUGUGGAUGAGGGUGAGCUAGCCAUCAGAAGGGAAUCUGCAUGGUUCAAUUCCCCAAGUCUUCUCAGCGUAGUCUCGGAUUGUUCUGUCGCUGCUAAAUCUCCCCGACCCGGCCGUGCUAAGGAUGCUCAUCUGAGUCCACUUACUUGGAUCCGCAAAUGCUUUAUCAGCAGCAGCCUGUAGUCAUAUAGAUUCAAAUCCCACGCACCAUAGUAAAGUUAUACAACACCAAACUCAAACUGCAUGUAUAUAUGUUUUGGGUUGGGACUGCCAAGUAAACAGAAAUAAUUACCUGAGCCUCUAAAUAGCUUUCAAAAUCAGAACCAACCAAAUAGAAGUCUUUACCACCGUCCACAGUAUCACAUAGAGAUUCAAAAUAGUCUUUAAAGCCGAAAUAGCCAUCUCGGACCAUCCUACACAUAAUAAAUAUCACAGCAGAAUUAGAACCUGAGGAAACAGUUUGCUCAGAACAACAUCACACAAUGGUCAAAAACGACAUCAAACACAUGCCCUCUAAAGAACCUGAAAAUUCUAGACUGGUCACCCCAAUCACUAACUGGCUAAGUGAGUAUGAUUGAUUGAAGUGACUGUAAUUGCAUACCUUAUAACACGUGCACAUUGCAGUGGCAUUUUAGGAGAUCCUUCCUCACGCAAAUUGGGAACUUCAUGAAUCUUUGCCCCGAACAAAAACUGGAGAAAGCAAGUUCUAAGAGAAUUAUCUCUGCUAUACUACAAACAAGUAUAUACCAAUCUAAAAUCUUGAAAUAGUCAAUACACAGAUUCCAUCUGGCAAGAAGUUCCAGCAAAAGCAAAUUUCAGUUGGUCGACAAUACUUGACAUCACAAUCAGCUAAGCUGAAUUCAACUAUAUUAAGUUGGCUACAUAAAUCUCACUCGGACUUUCCAUUCUCUACGGAAGCUCAUGUUAUGUUCAGUCACACGCUGUCUAUCUUUAGAGAAGGUCAAAGAUCAAUUCAUAUCACAGUGGUAUGCUUGUAUAGUUUUAUAUAAAAUUUACCAGGUUGUCUGCUCCUAUUUCUUCAACAAUUUCAACUGUAGAGCCAUCUUCUGUAGCUAAGAGUAAACAUCCAUUCAUAAGAAAUUUCAUGCUUCCAGUUCCAGAGGCCUCGUGUCCUGCGGUGCUGCAAAGGAAUCAUCACAAGUUGAGAUAUCAAAUAUGAAAACCGCAAUAACAUUGAAGUUUGGCCAAGAAACUCCAAUAAGUAUAUGGAAAGAUUGUGUUUUUUGGGGUUUCAUCAAAUUUAGAUGCUGCAAAGUUUACAAACCUUAUAUGCUGUGAAAGGUCAGCCCCAGGUAUUACCAAUUCAGCAACAGAUACAUUAUAAUCAGGAAUAAAAACCUGGAAUAACAGAGAAAUCACAUCAAAUAGAAGAUAAUUGUAUCCAUAUGUAGAGUGAAAAACCAGAGAUUUUAACUCAUGCUAGUUCCUCUCAAUAUUUGUACAAAACCAGAUAGGAAGAAUGCAUGUAAGGAUGCAUAAUUCUUUCUCUUACCAACUUCAGAAGAUCUCCGACAUCAGUGUCAUUAUUUAUUUUUUCUGCUACAGCAUGACAGAGUUUGAUAAUCUUCUUGGCAAUCUCAUAACCGGGAGCAGCUUUUCCUCCAAUAAUGCAGACACGAGGUACAACCUUACUCCUUUGACUUUUCUCCAUGUUCUGCAGCAAAGUGCUCAUCUUAACAAGUGGGGGCAAAGAGGAAAGAAAGCUCUUACCAAAAAAGAAAAAACAUGAGAAGAAAGCUCCAACUCCACAUCAUAUCUCAUUGAAAAAUCAACAAAUUACUGUCCAACAACUUCUUAAAUUACUGUGACAAGAAGACGAAAAAGGUAUGCACAAUACUGGAGGAUGGUGAUAGCUCCCUUAAGAAGGUAUAAGGUAGUUCUUUGUUAAAAAGUUAUAAAAUAUAGAAUGCAAAGUUCUUCACCAUAUAAAAUCAGAUUCACCUUGAUACAGUCAUAUCGAUGGAUAAUGCCAAGUAUAUUAAGCAGCUGUCUUUUGUACUCGUGUAUUCGCUUUGUCUGCACAUCAAACAUUGCAUCUAAACUAACCUGCAGUUGAAAGUGAUAAAUUUCAGUGUAAUCUAUUAGACAUAUCUUCUAGACAAAAGAGAAAAGAUGAACAGGAUAGAAGUUCAAAGAACUUGUGACCAAACCUUCACACCACUCAUCGCUUCAAUGUACUCAGCGAGCCUCAUUUUGUUAACCUUCUUAACCUACCACAUGAGCAUAUAUACAAUAAUAUAAUACAAACAAAGCCAAAAGCAUAAUAUAUUUUUGGUUCCUAAGCAGCUGUACAAAUAUCAAGCAUAGGGAGUACCAUCAUCCAUUCUUGUUGAAGGUCAGGAUCGGCUGCAUAUGCUCGCAAGCCAGUUAGAAGGUCAACAUCACGAAUCCAAGCUUCUGUUCCAAGCCAUUUUGAGAUAAGAGCACACAGGCUAGGAUUACUCACCACAAUCCAGCGGCGCUGAGAAAUCAAAUGUCAGUACAUUAUCACAUACAUGCUUAUAAAUUGUAUACUGCUAAGAAUAAUGAUGAAUCCUGAUUCAUCGAUGCAUCAUAAGAACAACCUUUGAAUAUGUUAUGAGCCAUAUAAUAACAAUAAUAGUAAAACUAUACGCACAUGUAUGUAUGCAUGUAUAUGCACAAAUAGAAAACCUCUCAGACCAAGAUUACAAAUUGUACAGGAAUCUAUUCUAAGUUCCACAGCAUCAUGCAUCCAUUUAAGUGGUCACCAACAGACAGCAUCAGAGUCAAACAUUAAUUAAGACAUAUUAAAACUGCAGGAGAGGUUGAUGCAUCCCAAUUUACUGCUCAACUGGGGUGGUUUAAAAGCUUAAACUAUGUCGAACACUCUGCUUCAUAAGCCCUAACACCACAAACUACAAAGGCCAUCAGAACCCAUCUUUGGAGGUGUGUAUCUCACCAUUCUUCUUCAACCACAUAAACAGAUUGAAAAGUCUAAUGAAACUAGCAAGUACUUUAUGAAAGAUGCUAUGAACUUUAUACCUGGGUAACACCAUUUGUCUUGCAUUGAAAUUUCUGAGGCCACAGCUCAUAGAAGUCCUGUGAAAGAGGUGUCAGAUGACCUAAUUUAAGGUAUCAUAAGAAUUUGGAUAUCUUCAACUUUGUCAUAAGACAAGGGAAAAGACAACGAUGCAAGGAACACAUAGUACCUUGAAUAAUUUUGCUUUUAGCAAUUCUGAAUGUACUUCAGAAACACCAUUCACAGUAUGGGAGCAUACAAUCGCCAGGUUUGCCAUUCGGAUACUCUGUCAAAUCAAAUGGUAAUUAAAGGUCAAAUUGCUAAACAAACAUUUUCUCAUCAAGAAGACCAAAGAAUCCUUAAUAAACACCUUAAGAAUGUACUUUUGAAAGGGGAAAAAUAAGCCAAAAACUCAUUUAAGUACAAAAGACUGCCUUGCAGAGAUUUCCAAAUGCCCCGUUUUCUAUGCUCUUCUUUUGUUAUGUCAUCAUUUAAGAGAGAUUAUGCAUAGGAGACAUAAUAUGGUUGCAAGAAUAAGCACAAUGGUGUACGGAUUAACUGUAGAGUUUACAAAAUACUACAGAUAAUACCAGAUGCCAACCACAAUUGUAAGCCCAGAAUCAUAUAUCUAUCAAGAAUACAAUCAAAUAUACCAUCAAAUACAAUAUGGUUUUAAACAUACCUUCACAGCGCCUUCCUCAAUAAUUGACAUUCGGGAUAGCCGAUUGUAAUCUAAACCAAUCCUCUUCUUCAACUCUUCCACAAACUUAAAGUUUAUUUCAUAUAUAAUCUGGAGCAAUAAAAACCUUACCACAAUGAUUUGAGUGACAAAAUAAUAAUCUCAUAAAAUAACGGCUAUUGAACAGAUAAUUCUAUUAUAAUUAGUUUAUAAGGUUGCUUCAGUAUAAAGGAAAGCAUAACAAUCUGAUGGAAAUAGAACUCCAGGAGUAAAGAUGAACUGAUGCACGAAUUGAUACAAAUUUCCAAAAACCUAGCAGACCACUAUCUUGAUGUAAAUUUGUAAUAUAUAUGACAAUUAAAUCAAUAUUUCUUCAUGUCAAAAAAGAGUCUUUAGAAUCGCACUUGUAAAUGGCGUGGGAGAAGACUGCCCAGUAAAUCAACAGGGAUUUUCUCCAACCCUUCAGCAAUUACUGCGUGUAUUGUGAACGAAAAGAUUUUGCAAGCAAUGUCCCACGCUUUAUUCCAACCCAAAUGCUCUUUAUCAACAAGCACUCUCAUGACCUCAGCUAUCGCAAGAGAUGGGUGAGUAUCAUUGAGCUGCAGAGCAACCUAAUUAAGACGAGGAAAAAUGAGCUGAGGAAAAAAGGAAAAACAGAAAAGCAAACCUGAAUGACUAUCAGAGGAAAGUAAUAUAUAUAAAAGUUCAUUGUAGCUAAAACAAGCUGCCAUAUAGGGUAAUAACAUGGUUUUUUCCCUGGAAAUCAACAUAUGAUAAAACGCAGAAUAUUAAGACUUGGACCUUCUCUGGAAAUUCAUCAAAGUUACUGUGAGCCUCUUUAAAUCUCCGAAUUAUGUCUUGUAUGGAUGCUGAGACAAAGAAAUAUUGUUGCUUCAAUCGCAGUUCCUUCCCCUGUAAUACAAAAUAAAGUGAAAAGGGAAACAUACUAAGCAACAAAAUGAGAAUAUACAUGAGUCAUCCCCAUGGAAACCACGUAACUGAGUUCAUGACUUUUCUCCAAACUUCUAAGAAGGUACAUUUUCUCAGAAACAUGCAGAUAAAAAAAAAAGAACAAUAUUGAUAAAACCAUCUUUCUUUUCUUCAAAUAAGUAAACAUGAUUUACAACAUAGUGCUGGAAAAGAAAGAAACUAUCAUGUACCCAAGACUUCAAAGAUGUUUAAUGUUUACAAGGUGGAUAGAAACGCAGGGAAAUAACAGCAUGAUUAUUGUACUCCAAAAUCCUAAAGUUUGAGAGUUCAAGCUAUCCAUACAAUUCUUAUACAGAAUGCUAGAUAACAAUAUGUUGAUAAACUGUCCCAGCAUCUAUAAAAACCUUAAUGAUAGGCAUAAUGGAAAAUCUUCAUCUCAUUGAAGUAGCCAGUUUCUGCAUGAACAUAUCAUCUUUUGAUACAAUACAAUACAUAUUCAAAAUAUAUUAUAAAUAAGAAAUAAAUAACAGCAUUAAGAAGAAACAAGCACACCUGAAACGAACGGUCAUCAGGGUACAAUACACUACUUAUAUUUUCUGCUUUCUGUCUACAAACAACAGCAUUGAUGUAAUCUCCAGUAUUAUAAGCUUCCUGCAUGUGCGGAUCAUUGCAUAGAAAAAUUAGUCUCACCUAAAAUUUUUAGGAGGCAAGAGAUGGAUUCUAUUGAAACAUGAACAAUUGGAGGAGAGAAUACUGUAGCUACUCUUUCAUUUAGGAUUUCCGUGGGAUAUUGAUUAAAAACGCAUUUCUGGAAAUGCAUAAUGUUUAAUGGUAGUAAAAAAUUACCAUAUCAUGUUGAUCACUUGGUUUUCCAGCCCAUAAACGGAGAGUAAUAGUAUUCCUUGUUCCAUAACCAGGUAUGGGAUUAUCAUAAGCCACAGCUUCUACCUAGCAGUGUGGAGACAAACCACUAAGCUGAAAUAACCAAUUAUAUUCAUCAUGUUUACAAGAUGCAAUCCAUCUUGCAUAUAUGAAUUAAACAAUAUCAAAGGAUUUGUAGAACAAAUGCAGCCUUAAUUAAUGGAAAAAGAGUUUAUUGUCUUACCACUUCUCCAGGGAUCCAAACAUUGCAUUUUUCUCCAUUCAAAUUUUCCUCUUCAACGACCCCAUAGAACUUAUCCAUGUUAAUAAUUAAAAAACAGAAGUUAGCAAAAGGUUUUGAAGUUUUAGGAGAUAUAAUGAAUAUCAAAACAACCUCAAUUAUUCAAUGAGCACUUUAAAAACAGGAGUAGUACUUGCACACCUUCACUGGAUACGUUACAUGAACCCGCUCUGUUUCCCAAGGAUUUCCAAAGUUCAACCAGAAAUCGGGUUGUUCAUGUUGGAAGCCAUCCAGUAUAACCUGGCGGAAUAAUCCAUAUUCGUAACGUAGUCCAUAACUGCAAAUUGAAGAUGCAACAUCACCAAAUUACAUCCCAUGUAAGAAAUUGUUGGCAAAAAACUAGUUCCAUAAUAAAAACGGUGUGGAGUUUUCAUAUUGAUUAAUAAGUUUAGUUCUCAAAGCCAUUAAGCAUGCACAUUAUUAUAACGCAUAAUAUAAGUGAGGCACAUUUGAGUUCUGAGUUCUCUCCAGAGACUGCUUCUAUUCUAAUUUAUAAAGUGUAAAGAAUCACGCCUGCCGCAUUUUUUUAUCAAGUGGGAAUAAUAUGCUAUACAUUAGGGGUAACCCUCACUUGCCUAGACUUCACUGUCUUGGAGGAGGAAAGAGACCAAAGAGCUAAAAGGGACCGUCAUCCUAGUAUUAAAGACAAAAAUUUGAUGGGAGUAUAAUGAAUUAGAUUAUUAUAUGCUAACAGAGAGUCAGCAUACCCCCAUGCAGGAUAGUCCAAAGUUGCCAUAGAAUCCAUUUGGCAAGCUGAAAGACGAGCUAGGCCACCAUUACCAAGGGCAGCAUCUCCUUCCUUGAAACAUCAGGAAAACACUUACCAUAGCAGAAUAAAUUGCUAAAUUAAGUAUAUAUUCCAUGGUGUGCAUGGUAUAUAUAAGAGAUCAUAAUGGGGGAAUGACAUCAGCAAAAGAAAAAGGUGUAUACUAACUUGCUCUGCCAAAACUUCAAACUCAAAACCAAGCUGGCUUAAAGCAUCUGCAUAUUGAUCCCGGAUGCCAAGGUUGAUGACACUAUUUGACAAGGAACGACCUGACAGCUCAGUAACAAAUAGCAUUUCAGCGGCAAGCAAGCAUUACAUCAAGGAAAAUAUACACAGCACUAAAUUGGGAACUCAUGGAAAACAAGCAGUCACUUCAGUACAAGAUCAAAAUGAAACAUUAUCAAUUAGUCUAGAGAGGCUUGAGGUUAACAGACACUAGCAUCAUCCAAAGUCCAUAGAUUGUAUAAAACAACUCUGAUGGAAGUACAUAAAUACCCAUAAGAUACUCAAACGAGAGGAAGUAUACGCGCUUAGGGUCUUUCCUCUUGAAGUAAAGCUGCGUAUCAUGCGAACGUUCAAUCAACCGGUCUCUUACACUAUGCGCCAAGGCCUGCAAAAUAAUCAUAACAAGCGUAAAUAAAUAUGCAAACACUUGAUAACUACAAUAAAACUCAGGGAACCCAGAAUAAUGAUAAAUGACGAAAAUAAAGAACAUUUCCCGCCAAAUUUGAGAACAUUCAACUGUGCCCUGUUAUGCAAAUUUUGGAAACCACAAAAUCAAACUAUUGAAAAACAUAAGCCCAAAGAUUACUAUAAGAAAACAAAAUUACCUGAUAAGCUUCAAAAUCAUCGAAGUUAAAGCGGGACCUGGCAACCGUGUACUCAACGUGACGAAGAAUAUCCUGCUGCAGACUAAUGGAGUCAUUUUUCAAAAACCCAUCCAUUAGCCUGAACAUCCUUUCAGCCUUGGCACUAUCGGAGCCCAAGCUCAUGCCCAAACCCGACCCGGGCCUGCGGACCAUCACACCUCUCGUGGUGGGACUGGCGGGACCCAUCGAGACCGUACCACCGUCUUCGAUGGCGUCCGUCAGGGCCUUCUUGAUCCUAUCGAGGCUAUCCGGGUCGGCGAUUUUCGCGCCAUGAGAAUCGGUGACGAAGAAUCUUUUGACGAAGAAGUCGCCUUCGAACUCGACGGUAGCUUUUUCAACGUGGAGGCCGAGGACUUUGAAGACGCCGGUGAUGACCUGGAGGAGGCCGAUGCGGUUUCGGGCUCGGAUCACGAAGAGCGUGCAGGACGGGUCGGAUUCGGACUCUGAGUUCUCGACGGUGACAGAUGAAGCGGCGGAGGGCAGCUGGCUAGCGGAGGCGCGUAUGGGUUUGGCAACAUGAGUGCGGCCGUAUAGGAUCGAUGAUCGCGAUGACCGUGAGAAGCUUCGAGAAUGAGAGGGAAAUAGAGGGAACAGAAAGGUGGAGGAUGAAGAUGCGAGCUUAGAUUGGUCAGUGAUGGUGAAAAGCCUUGAAGAUAGCGUCAACAUUGUAGAAUGCGGGGAUUUGGAGGAAUCACAUUCGCAUGUGGAGAAAGACUCUGGUAGGGAGAGCUUCGGGGUUUGGAGGUGGAAGAAGAAGAAGAAGAUGGAGCUUUGAGUGCAAUCACAGUGAGUCUGUGAGUGACUGACCGUGAUAGUAGGGAAAAGGGACUUUCUGGACUUUUCACUUUUGGAGGGGACAGGGUGAGGAUACCAAGUGGACAGCCUCAUUUUCAUACGGUGAGGCUUCGUAUUCUUUAUCGCCACCUAUAUUGAUUUUUGUUUUUAUGUAUGUGAAUAAAAAUGCAAUAUAUUAGGCAAUGGAAUUCGUCCCUACAGAAAAAAAAUAUCGAAAUUUGGUCCAUGUUUACUUUUGAAGGAUGGAAGAAGUCAUGAAUGGGAGAAUUUAAAUGGAAUAAUCAAGAGAUGAGAAUUAGAUUAACUACUUUUCUUAUGAGUGCGGUCGAAGUUGAUUUCAUUCUUGAUUUUGAGCGUAUUUGAUUACAGAUUGUAGUUGAUUUCAUUCACUAUUUUGAGGGUAUUAAUUACGAAUUUUAUUAUAAAACUCAUAUAAUUUUUUAUUCCUUAUACGUUAAUAGAGAUAUAGAAAGUUAAGAAUUGAAAUCAUUCCAAUUCACAUAUGUUAACAAACACGUAGAAUUUGAAUUAUUUCAAUACCUAUUCAUGAUCGCAGCACCGCAUGUGUCACAAUUGCAUUGCAUCUAAUGAGAAGAGCAAUGGGGUUGAAUGUGGGCGAUGAAUACGGGCAAAAGAAGGGUCGUCCCAUUGGUUUUGGCAAAAGGCAAGAAAGAUGAACAGCAAGCACAUCCCUUCCUUCCACCGUCGUACUUGCAUAAUUGCAUUGCACCCUCCACAGUCACGACUCACGAGCCCCAAAGCCCAAAAUUAUUCACAGCACAGCAAUGCACGAAGCCACCUUUCCACCUCCCGCCAGCCGUCACACUCACACGUGUCUUUUAUUGGGCUCAAGAAUUUGCCACCUCGUUAUGCUCUUUUACCAUACUGUAAAUUUUAGAUGCCACGUGACUACAAAACCACACAGUAAAGUAAACUCUCUAUCUGGAAACUUCCACACCGUUCUGGUUCUUUCGACAUAUUGUUUCUCUUUCCUUCGAAUUCCAGUGCCACUUUCCUUAAUAAGAGCAAAGCAUCAGUUUGCGAACAUACCCAAUUAUAAAUUUUGAUAGCCUUGAAGAAUUUGAGCAAUUCAUUGAGUUUUAAAAACGCUAGCACCUGUCUGAAGAGCAGGAAGAUAUGGGUGUGGAUUACUACAAGCUUUUGCAGGUUGACAAGAACGCCACAGAUGACGAUUUGAAGAAAGCUUACAGAAAGCUGGCCAUGAAAUGGCACCCUGAUAAGAACCCCACCAAUAAGAAAGAAGCUGAAGCGAAAUUCAAACAGAUCUCUGAGGCCUAUGAGGUUGGUCUUGUCUUCACCCUUAUCUUCCUUUUCUUCGUUCACCUAUUUUCUUUUGGUUAUUGUUGUUGUUGUUGUUGUUGUUGUUGUUUUUUACUUUUUAUCAUCUGGGUUUUAUACCUCUAAGCAAAUCCCACAUGUUCCUCACCUCCUUUUCUAUUUAAGUCUCAUUGUAUAAGUUAAAAUUUCCAUCUUUUAUAUUUAAAUUUCCUCAAAUGACAGAAAGAUUCCAUCUUUCAUCGUUUUCUAGAUGGUGUACGAAUGCCAGAGCUUGGAAUCUGAUAUUGUGUCUUUUGAAUUUAUAGGUUCUGAGUGAUCCCCAGAAAAGAGCAAUUUAUGAUCAAUAUGGAGAAGAAGGCCUAAAAGGCCAGGUGCCGCCACCAGAUGCUGGUGGUCCUGGUGGAGCUACCUACUUCCAAACUGGGGAUGGUCCAAAUGUCUUUAGAUUCAACCCCAGAAAUGCCGACGACAUUUUCGCUGAGAUUUUCGGGUUCUCAAGCCCCAUGGGUGGAAUGGGAGGUGGAAUGGGAGGUGGAGGAGGUGGUGCUGGUAGUGGCAUGAGGGGUACAAGGUCCUUUGGUGGACUGUUUGGAGAUGACAUGUUUAGCUCAUUUGGAGAAGGCCGGCCCAUGACUCAGGCUCCACGAAAAGCUUCACCGAUAGAGAAGAGGUUGCCAUGUAGCCUUGAGGAGCUCUAUAGGGGGACUACUAAGAAGAUGAAAAUAUCAAGGGAAAUUGCAGAUGCAAGUGGGUAAGUUCCUGCUUAUCAUUCAGUUUUAUAGAACGUACUUGUUUAAUUUAUUUUAUGACUUGUGCAUAAUCAGUUAUUCAUUCAUUUGACAAUUUCAGAAGUUUCUGUAAAAAGGAUGUCAGCAGUUUUCUGCAUUCCAAUUUUAGUUGGACUUUAUUUGAGUUGAUCUGUUUAUUGUGUUCUUAUCUUUUGAAAAGGAAAAGAAAAAGGAAUAUAAGUGAUGCGACCAUCCCAUUUCCCUGCUGUUGAUUGAAUGAUUCGUUAUUCAUAUUGCAAGUCAUGUGACCAAUCUAUCUAUUUUCUGGUUAGUGACCUUACUUAUCAUGUGAUGCAGGAAGACCUUGCCAGUGGAGGAAAUUCUAACCAUAGAAAUCAAGCCUGGCUGGAAAAAGGGAACAAAAAUCACCUUCCCAGAGAAAGGGAAUGAGCAAGGAAACGUAAUUCCUGCAGAUCUUGUGUUCAUAAUUGAUGAGAAACCACACAGCACAUUCACAAGGGAUGGCAACGACCUUGUUGUCACACAGAAGAUCUCCCUAGCAGAAGCUCUCACGGGCUACACAGUCCAUCUGACCACACUAGAUGGAAGGACCCUCGCCAUCCCCAUCAACAAUGUCAUUCAUCCAGACUAUGAGGAGGUUGUCCCUAAAGAGGGUAUGCCCAUACCUAAAGACCCAUCCAAGAAGGGCAACCUUAGAAUCAAAUUCAAUAUCAAGUUUCCGAGUAGGUUGAAUUCUGAACAGAAAGCCGGAAUUAAGAAACUUUUGGCGGCAUGAUUUGAUUUCGGGGCAUGAUUUGAUUCGAGUCAUUCGAUCCACCAUGCGCCAUGCGAAUCUUCUGGGAUCUUCUGGGACGGUUGUGAAUAUGUUUUUUGAGAUGGCCUGGAUUUGUAUAACUAGUUAGUCUUUGUAAGGUUAAACAUUUGUUUGCCCCACAGAUGUAAGCUGGUCAAUUCUAGCUUGGAAGAAGCAGCAAAUAAAGCUUAGUUAUGUUUUCUAGAAUUUAAUCUUGUUCAGUGAUCGCAUCACACGAUUGUCUCCAAUAUAAAUGACCCUUUCUCCAAAAUUGAGUUGCUUGUUUAAAAAUGGGAAAAUAAAAAUGAGAAAAAACUAUUAUCAAAAUAUCUUCAAAUACAAUCUUCCAUGAAUAUAACUGAAAUAUAAAAGAUAGGAUCUUUGCAGUAUAACUUGCUCAUCUUUUUCAUUAGGUAAAGGUUUGUUACACGCUUAAAAUGACUUACAUGUUACACUGCAUAACUACUGCAGGACCUCUAUCCAGUACUUCUAUCCAGACUACUGCUAAAAAUGUAAUCCAUAAACAGGGAAAGUUUAAAAUAAAAGGGAGGCUAAUAAUAAUAAUAACAAUAAAAAGAAGAUUUGGUGGGGCAAUAUUGAUUCCAUCACCAGGAUAGGAUGAGCCGCUAGUGAAGCUGCAAUAUCAAAAAUUAUAUUGCAGCCAGUAUAUCUGGGAUGCUUGCACAAAGGCAGUUCAGGUUUCAAACUUCAAUCACUAUAGUCAUCUGAAACUGCAGAAUCUGAGCCAUCAUCAUUUGUAAUCUUGUUUUGUAUUUCAUCCGAGGCAUCACUCAUAUCUACAUCCCCCUCUGAAUCUUCAUCUCUCACUUCUUCAAUGCCAUUAUUGUCAUCUUCAGAAGCAUCCAUAUCCUCAUCACUUGCUUCCAGUAAACCCUCGUGCCAUCCGCUGGAAGUCCCAUCAAAUCCAGUUUCCCAGUUUCCUUGUUCAUAUCCCACUGCUUGGUCAUCGUCUUCAGAUUCCAAUGCCUCUGCUUGUUCAUAUCCCUCUCUUUGUUCAUCACCUUUCAUAUGGAUCAUAUCUAUCUUUUCAUCAUCCCAUUCCUCACCCAAGUUUCUCGGGGAAUCCCCUCCACUCUCAGGGCUACUGCGUACGUCAGUCAUGCGGCCCAGAGGUGUCCCCUCAACAACCCUGUCCUUUGUUCUCCUCUUUCUAACAGUUCUGCGACCCCGUGCACUCCCUUGUCCUUGUGUUCUUUUCCCAACCGGUCUAAACCCUUGACUUAGAUUCCCACUACCCUUUUGCCGACUUGCACCAGAUUUGGAAUUAUUCACUUUUCUCUGCCACUUUUUACCGCGCCCUUGCUCACGACCUCCCCUACCACGUCUAAAGCUGUUUCGUGCACUUUUCAGGUGAGUAUUGUUCUCUUCCCGAAUGUAUUCAUUGUGGCCUACUUCUGUUUGUUCAGACUCUUUCAGUGGGGCAAGUCUCAUAGGGAGCUUCUGUGGACAAGAAAAGCACAUGUAAGAUCACUCGUUCAUGGCACGUUGAAAGUUGUAUAAACACCACCAACGUAAAUUCAACAUAUUCUAUAAGGCAGGUCCCAUGCAGAUAGACUGAUAUGUAAGACCACUAGUUCAUUGACACGGUGAAAGUUGUAUAAACACCAACAUCAAUUACAUCUAUGGCUAGCAUAUUCAACAUUGGGGGGUUCCAUCCAGAUAGACUAGAACCGCCAAAUCUUCAUAAUAUCACAAGAUUUGUAUUUUUCUAAAAGAAUUGCAAGCAUUUGUGUCAGUAAUCAUACACCUGAUUCUCUUUCAACUUCUUUUUUUGGGGAACCCUCAAUGAGAAGAACAGGAACACUCACCAGAUAUUCUUUGACUUCCUUGUCUCCGUUGGGCUCAGCUUUCUCAAGCUGUAUAUGUGUAAUCGAUGAAUCCAUCUCAUGAAGCCUCAGAGCCACAGCUGCAGUGGUAUGUGGUAUCCAAGGAAGUAGGGGAACUGAUCCACUGUCUAGAAAGUCAGGAACAAAAACCUCUGAUUGUUUGCUGGUGCCAAGUAAUUCCUCCGUCGCUGCAAAGUUUGAUGACAGAAAGUCUCGCUUCACGGCAGUCUCAAGCAGAGUCAAUAUCUGCAACAAAGUUUGUCCAAAAUUGAGCAACUCAAUAUAUAAAUUAUGUAUCAUGAAUUGACACAUCAUGAGCCAUGGUCAUACUGGUCUGAAGCUCACCGGUGAAUAGAAUACCAUACCACGUAGAAAAAUGCAUGCGGAAUUGAUGGAUAAAUAUUUCCACAUGAUAUUUUCAUAUUGUUUGUGAAAAAAAAUCAGGAAAUUAAUUUACAUCAUGACAAAGGUUGAAUCAUAAGAAUGAAACGAGAAAAAGGUAAGACAACCUGUAGAAGUUCUUCCGUUGAUGAUGAUGCAUUCAGUUUCCCACCCCAGGUCUUUCGACGGUCUUCAGUCCAAAACGAUUGAAGAGCUUCUGGUGGAAUAGAUACCUAUCAAACAGAAUGUCAGUGAUGUAUAGACUCAAUAAAAUAAAAUAAACAAGUGCACAUACAUUAGAUGCCACGUUCUUAGGCAAGCAAACUCAAGAUUAUAGUGAAGCCAUUAGCAUCUCACCUCAAUAUGAGCUAUUAAUGCCUUGAGCAAUCUUCUGCCCAAGGGAAGAGAAGUACAUGGCAUAUGGGAAUCCCAAGGUUCCAACUUCCUUUUUUCUUUACAUUGAAUCACAUGCUCGCUAAAGUUAAAAUUUGCAUAGAAAGCACUGAAAGUCUGAUGGCAAAAAGCACAGUGGGAAUCUUCAAAGUAGUAACAACUAAGGCAGAAAUCGCAAACAUCAAACAGUGAUCUGCACCUCUUCUUCGCAUACUUCAUGGCACAAAAUGUAGAUGAGCUAAAGCAUUCUUUCCACAUCCACUUCUGAAAAUCUUGAUACCUUCUCAAGGCAGCCCUUUUUUCAGCUUCAUUUCUGUCAAGCUCAAUUCUGAAAGAAGAGGAUGUCUCUGCUGUAUCAGAAUUCAAAGCACAAACAGUACUGCCAGGGCUGUCGAAACCAGAAGGGCAAUCAGGGCUAGAAUCCAUGUCGGCUUCAUUUUUAACACGGUUUUUACUUGGGCCUGCACUGUUAGGACAAUGUGAAGUUUUCCGAACAUUGUCCUUGAACGAUGCCUCAAUCUUUUGCAACAUUAAGCGUAGAUGGGAUUCCCUAAUCCCACGUGUGUCCAGAGACGUCAAUAGAGCAUCAAAGGCCUACACAGAUAAUGGAUUCAACAAAUUAAAAUAAUGAAAAAAACAGAAGAAGCAAGGUUAAAACCAAAUACAAGUCUAAAAGAAUUGAACCAGAAAAGUAUUUAUCAACAUUUAGCACCAGAAAAAGGUUGAAAGCGCAAGAAGCCACCAUUAUUGGGAUACCAAGACCAAAGCAUCUUAAUCUUAACUUUGCAGAAAAAGGAAUAUAAGAAACUCUUAAAAGGAAAAUUGAAACAGCAUGUCAAAUCUAACAAACAUAAAAUUUGAUUCAACCAAGCAAGCAGACAAAACCUAUUACAAAUGUAAGACGUGCUGCCAACAUCAAUCACAAGACCCAAAUCUUGAUGAUCAGAUAUUUUAUUCCAAUUGGUAACAAGGCCAGCAAACAGAUAAUAAAGAAUCAACUUUACUAAGAAGCAAAUGAUGCCUAGCCCAACCUCAAUUUACUCAAAAGGGCUGGAAGGGUCAAUGGCAGUUUCUCCUAAGGAGGAUGAAAUGCAGUCAUAACCAACAAAAAUAUUUACCAGUACUAAAAUAUUCUCAUGUCAUACACAAGCCCUGAAACAAAUUGUUAAACCCGUAAGCAUUUAAGUACCUCUUCAGUGUCAAUAAGCCUCCAACUUCCAUUAUUCAAUUCAAUAAAAAUCCUGCCUGAACCAGGAUCAUUGCUUGAUGCAGAUGCAACAAAUUGCCAGUAUCGAUUAUGCCUGCGAUCUUGACCAAGAGGCAGGGACCUAUAUGCAUACAUCUCUUCUGCUCUAUGUGCAAUAUAUGAUUUUAACUGUGAGCGCGACCUUUUUGAUGCAUAUGCAAGUUGCUGACUCAAGAAGUUGUCAGGACCCAUGGAAAUAUCUUGGGCUCCUAAAGUCCUUUCAACUGGCAAACCAUUAAGCUGAUUCUGAACACCUUGUGAACCAUGGAUUGACUUUUGAUUUUCUGCAGUGCCUGGAGAUGCUUCAAUAUUUCUAUUAUCAACAUCCCGUACAGGGCUUUGUCCAUCCUCCACUCCGAUAACUUGUGUUUCAGAUUUGCCUCCCACAAAAGAUGGAAAAUCUAACUUACCGACAUUCUCUUCUUUUAGGCGACUUUUAUCAAGCUGUGCUUCUGCCCACAUUUGCUUCUUAAGAGCAUUUGCAGCUUCUAAGCGAUCCUGUUGAACUCGUGGUGUCAAAUUUAACACAGAAAAUACAACAAUUCAUUGAUUUUCACAAAAUUGAAAAAAAAAAUGUUUACCUCAAGAACAACACGGAUGGAGUUUCCUUCAUUUGCAACACCAAUUAAGGUAACCAGGCCAUUAAGACGCUCUUCCACACUGAGAUCAGAAUAUUCCCCUUCUGUAAGUCCUUGAACCCAUGACUCACCUGAUUUGCUUUCAUCAAUCUCCAUAUUUUCUUGGUCAAGAUUACUAGCACUAAUAUCCGCACCCGAAACACACUGUUUAGAGGAAGCACUAGGGCAGUUUGCAUCUUUGGAACCACUCACUGGGGAAGAUGAAACAUCGUUUUCAAACUCAUUUUGCACAUUCAGUGCAACAUCAUUGCAUAAAUCCUUUCCAUUUUCUGAGAAAGUAAUUACUUCAUUGUAAUCAUCAGGGGAUUUCUUUGCAACUGAUGGAGUAGCUAAGUCAUCAACUUCUGGAUCGUCAUCAACUUCAUCACAUUCAAAGUCUUCGUCUCUUUCAACCUCAUCAUUUUCAACCUCAUCAGCAUCAUCUCUUUCAACAUCAUCGGCAUCUUCUGCAGCUAAAAACCCAUUUUCAAAUAUCUGAAUUUUCUUCCGUGCUGCAGAAAGUAUGGCCUCGGCAUCAGCAGGAUCCUUUCUGUAAGCAGCUCGUACGCGAUAUGUUGAAGGAGCUAUUCUUUCGAAAAGCUUAGUAUCUCUUGUCAAAGCAACAGAAAUUGAAGCUUCAGGAGUCUUGCUUGUUGUCAGGUCCCGAAGGCCAGAUUUCUUACAGAAAAGAACAAAUAACAGAAAGAGAAAAAAAAAAAAAUCAGGAAAGAGGGAGCAAAUAAAUCCCGAUACCAAAAAACUCAACUCUUGUCGCAAGACACACAACAGAGUUUCUGCUAACAUUAAAUGAAAUCACCUGAAUCUUGUCAGCAAGCUCUAACACUGUUAGUCCCUUGUUUCCCUCAAGUGAAAGCACAUGAAAAGCUGCAAAUUUUACAGUUCCAGGAGUCAACCGGUGUCUAGAUUUUCGUGGGGCUAGUAAGCCUUUUUCUUGCAUUAUUGCAAAUGCAUUUUCAGCUGCUGAACCAUUGCGAAGAUUAGAAAUUGCAUCCUGACAACCUUUACCCUGAAAUUACAAGUAAUACUGUGCGUUUUACAAUUUUUGGAAUUUUAUAUAUAUAAAAAAGCAUGUCUGAAUGUACUCUAUUGAUUGAGCAAAAUUUACAUACGGACAGCCACCUUUAAGGUGGUUUAAUAUGAAUGAAAAUUGAUACUGAAUUAGAACACGCCGCCCGGUCUGAAAGUCCAAGAUUUUAAGUCUUUGAGCCUUGUGCUAAUAUUACACUUCAAGCUAAGUCCAAACAACAUUCAUAUGGGUUCCUUAGUUAUUUAUAUUUUAGAGUUUUUUAGUAAAAAUAAAUUAAAAUUCACUUUUGUUGUGCUUAGUAUGCUAAGCCUGAACUACUACCUCAAUUCACCCUUUCAUAGAGUUCAACUCACAAAUCAAUACUGAGCGGAGAGAAACAUCUAUCAGGAGAGUAUGACCAUGUGGUAUUCCUUUUGUUUUUCAGUUUUUUCCUUUUACUCUUUCCUUAACUGAUGAAGGAGAUGAAUUCCUUUGAAAGAAAAGAUAAUAAAUAACUGAAAAGAGAACCUCAUCAUUAUCAGGAGAGUAUGACCAUGCGGUACUCCUUUUCUUCAACUGUGGCCCAAAUCCGGCAGACAGUGCUAGUUGCCGGAAUAUUUCUGGCCAUGUUAGCAGAUUUAAGUGCUGCUGCCAGUUUCGUAUAUCAAAGCCCCAUGCAUAUGCCUGAAACAGAAAGUAAAAUUCAAUAUAUUUAAAGAACAAUUAGGAAAAAGCAAUAAAAUGAACAAACAAAACAACUGCAAGCAUGCAGAGAGCGAAGAUUACUCCUUCAACAAUCUGUGGAUGUCCACCACCAGGAUUAGCAGCACCAUUUUGAUUUACUCCUAAUCCAGUAGAAGGAGUCCUUGCAACAUCUUCAAUAUCUUUUAUAAUCAACCUCAAGAGAGCAACAUGGAUCUCUCCUAACAACCUUGAAUCCUGAUAUCAAAAUUGUAUGGAAUUAAACAGCAGCAGAAAACAGAUGAAGAACAGUUAACUAGAAUGCACAAUUUUGAAACAAAAUAACUCAUUGGUGGCUCACAUAGUCAUGAAAAGCUUGAACAAACUCAUCAAGAGUAAAAGGCCAUAACUCGAGAACAUCAGCAAAGGUAAUCAAAAAUCUCCAAACCUGUCACCAUCACGAUACUCAAUCAUCAGAACCAGAGGCAUUAAUUCAAAUAUCAGCAAGAAAAUAAUCUAUUCAAAAUAACAUGCAUAUGACAAUAUUGGAGAGAGCAUUUAAUUUAUAACUGCACAGAAAAAACUGAAAACCAUGAGAAUCACAUGCCAAGAAGAGCAUAUUGAAGCUGGACCAUAGAUAUUACCAACCAUGCAGUGUGCAUAAGGACAUAAUGUAACCAUCAGCCAUACAAGAAUAUAAAAAAUAUACACAUAGUACUUCUAAAAUCUCAUGUAAAAGGAAAAAGGAAGGACGCACCAUUAGGAAGUUACCAAUAUUCUCCUCUGAGUUGAUCCACGGCUGAACUGCAAAUGGUCUUUUUAAUUGCACGGACUUAGGUGGGAAUGCAGCCAGAGAAUCUAAAGCAGAAAAUCACCUCAUCAGAAAAAUUGGUAGAGUUACUACAGAAAAUAAUGAGCCAAAACAAUGAAGACAAUCUCAUGGAGUUGAGGAGGGGAACACAAGAUGAAAUUCUCAGUGCAGAAUGCCAAGCAAUACCUACCUCUGAAUGCAUCAAGGUUUUGCAAGGUGUCAAGAUCAAUACAAAUGAUUGAGGAUAAACCCUUGCUUGCAGCAGCCAAUUCCAUUAGUUCUAGUUGCUCAUCCUCAAUAAGCUCCAUAGAUUCUUUAGCAAGCCUGCGUGCAGUAGCCUUCUCAAGUGCUGCUUUGCGUCUCACUGCCUCUCUCUCUUUGCGAAGCUCUUCCUUUUGCCUCCUUUUCUCAGCCUGCAAGAUAAACCCAGGAGAAGAAAAGCAAAAAAGACAAGGGGGGAUCAAGAAUUUAUCAUUUUAUGCUGAAAAACCAAAGAUACAAAACAAAUGCAUUACAUUAGUGGCUCCUCAAACUUACUCUUAUAUAUUCUUUCUGCAAAAACUUUUCCCUUCGUUCAAUUUCACGUUUUUGCUCACGCUUUGAUCUCUCUUCCUCUCGCUGCCUUUCACGCAUCAACCUCUCUUCUUCUUUUCGUCUCUCACGGUCAUGCCUUUCCAUUUCUUUCCUCAUUCGUUCCUCAUUCUAUAAACAGAAAAAUAUCAGCAUACAAACACCUAUAGUUCAGAACAAACAUUUUGGAGUGAAAAAUAGAACCUUUCUCCUCAGAAUAUCCUGUUUCUCCAGCUCCUUCCGGAUCCGAAUCUCAUGAGCUUCAACUUCUUUAGCAAUUCUAGCUUCUUCACUCUACAAGGGGCAACUAUUAAAAUAAUCCUUGAUUGAGAAAAUAUAGUUUUCGAAUAAAAUUGAACCGCACAAGUAUACCUUGCGUUUCCUCUCCAUUCUCAGCAUAGAGUCAUUAAUUUGACCAUCAGACAAUACAUUAGAGUUUUCCGGUGCAACAGUAGGAGGAUCACUAAACUGAGUAUUUACUCUAACAUUAGUAAAGGAGUCCCUUUGUGGCACACAGCCAUCAUCACCAGGAGAUGGAAAGGCCACUGCUUGCCUCUCCUGCUGAGACAGAAGACGAACACGCGACACAUGACCAUGACCAUGGACACCAUGAACCCUUGACAAAGGCUCAUUUCCAACUGCAAAUGAUGAAGCUCUGGCACUAGGACCAUCAAUUGGUGAAUCUUGAAAAUGAGAUUGUGCGGCUUGUCCAUAUGCAUCAGACCGAAUACUGGAGUGAUCUUGAAGAAAUGGAUAUUCAUGGAGAGCCCUUGGAGUUGCCUGAGAUGAAACACAUACUAAUUCAAAAUUACAAGUGGUGAUGCAAUUGUCUUAUGGUUAUUUGAUUGAAAUACAUUCACUUUCUAUUUCUAAACAACACAUCAUUUGAAAAGAGUAUGCGUUUAUCAGAGUUUCUUAACAGAAGGUUAUGGUAUACUGGCAAGCGGGAGAACAAAGUAGUGGUAUAUUUAUUCGCUAAAAGAAAAUCUAAUACCCAGAACUUGGAAAAUGAGAGAGCAAAUGGACGCUUCUCUCGUAUUUUUAGGGAUAAAGCCACAUAAGUUAUAAAGGAUGUAUCAUACUAAUAAAAAAAGAGCAAUACAUGUAUAUCACUUAAUGAUUCACCAGCAUAUCAUUGCACAUGCCAUCAUAUGGUGCAUAUAAAGUAAUAACUUUUAUCAAAGAAAAAGAGACGGACUUUAUUUGGUUUUGCAUCAUGCCGCUCAUAUUUGCCCUCCAAAGCAUGGGCAGCCCGCUUCUGCUGCUCUGCAACUGCUUCACCAAGCACAGAAACAAAAGGGUUAGCAGCAAACCGAUCGCAUACAAGAAUCAGUCAAACAAUAGGCAAUAAUAUGCUAGAUUAAUAAUGUGGCCUUUAUUGAGCAAUAAAUCAUAUGUUUUCGCAAUUUUUCUGAUUCCAAUGCAAUAAUUUUAGGAAAUAGUCCAUACUUUUAGACCACCCCCACCACCACAAGAUGAAAAAAUUUGGAACUCAAACUUCUUAACAUAAUCACCACAGUGCAUAAAGCCUCAAAGCAAAUGUGAAUGUUAAACUACACUAGAAACCAAAGUUAAACCAACUAAAAAAACCUUAAUUAUUAAGAAAAUUGGUGAACCAAGUAGCAAGUGUGAUCCAAAUGCAUCUGGAAACUUGUAAAGCCCAUGACUGCCAUAAAAUAAACAAACUUAUUGAUACAUUUAAACAUGGCAAAAAGAAAAGUCAUGAAAAUAAUUUCUGUUUAUCUUAGAGAUGGGAAUGCAAAAUACAAAUAUGCUCCGAGAAAAACAGACCAUCAUAAACUCACUAGACAACUACAAGCACAAAAUUCUCUGCAUAAUGCUGCAACGAAAUCCCAUAUAAGUCAAGUACAAGGCAUUGCUGAACUGAGCUGUACAAUCAAUAAGGGAACCCAAUAGUUAUACCUAUAGGUGCUCCGAACGCAUCUGGCGGCAACCGAUCGAACUCUACGCCGAGAACUGGCCCAUCUUCCCUCAAUGGCUCUCCCAAUUGAGCUUCCACACAAGCAAUGGCUCUAAGCUCCAAUAUCGACUGGGGUGACUCGUAAUACCUCCUCCUCAUUGGCACAUCGUCAGCCCCACUCCUGGAAACCACAUUCCGCAACUCCGCAUGCCCAAACGGGCUUGAGCCGGAGCCUGAACCCGACCCAUAAUCACUACCUGGCUCAGACCCGUGAGCCAAAUCAUCAAUAGGAGGCUCGGGCAAAGUGGGCACCGAUUUCCGCUGUUUCUUUGCUGGACCCCCUUCCUUUUUGUCCUUCAAUCUUCUGUGACAGAACCACAUCUGCAACUGCCGAUCAGUAAGCCCUAAUUUUUCCGACAGCUCCGCCCUUAUCGCCUCCGACGGGUAGGUCUCCACUGAUCAAAAACCCAAAAAAUAAAAGAAGCUUCAAUUUUCACAGACAGUAGCUAUAAAUUUAAAACAAAAAAAAGAAAAAAAUCGAGAUUGAACUUACAGGCAUAAGCUUUCUCGAGGGUUUCAAGCUGAAAGGGGGUCUUCAUCUGGCGCUUGGGCUUGCUCUGUCCCUCACUGGAAUUAUUAAAUUUACCAUUACUGUUGUUAUUUUCAUGAUUUUUAGUCGGAUUUUCUCCUUCGGAAGCACCCUCCAUUGAAGCAAGAUCAAGAUCUGGGCAGAACAAAGCUUCUUCCUUCAAGCCUUCAAGGCCCCAAACCUCGAAACCUCGAAACCCUAGAAUUCCCAAAUCCUCAUGGAGAGAAAAACAAAACAAAAACUGGGUCUUCCGAAAGCAAACAAACAAACAACGAAGAAUCUGAUUUCUCCUUUUCUCUCUCUCUAUCUCUAUAUCCUCUCUCUUUUCCUUUCUUUAAACAAAUACCGUAACAGUCAAGGAAAAGAUCAAGAAAGAGAGAGGCGUAGAAUUAUCAUGAUGGAAUAAUGAGAAUAACAUGAAUAAAAUAAAUGUGAAUUUCGGGGAUUGACAUGAAAAUAUGACAACAACAACAUCAAUAACAAGAAUAAUAUCAAAAAAUAGGAAAAGGCAAAAUCAGGAACAUAAAACCAACAGUCUUUCCUCACUCUAAUUCCACCUUCCAUAAUUUUCUUAUUUUUUUUGUUUUUCACUUUUCUAUUUCUAUUUUCUUUUCUUUCGGUCUUUGUUUUGUUUUUGUUGCCUUUUCUUUCUUUUUUUUUAAUUCGAUGGUACUUUCAUACUUCGUUGCGUCAAACGAUACGAGGCCCUUUUCUCAGUUUUAACGUUGCGUGGUUUGGUUGGGCUGGCUAAAAACACGAACCCACGUUCCAACCAACAAAAAUGAACUUCUUUUUAUUUUGUGUUUUGUGUUUUGGUUCCAGCGAGCGGAUGCCGAAAACUCUCUCUUCGUGUUUGUUUUUAAUUCGAUUGACUUUUCAAUUUUUUAGGUUGUACGAGUUUUUUCUUUCUUUUUUUUAUGUUUUUUUUAUUGAUGACUCUAAUGUUAUUGCAAGUGUGCGUGUGUGUUUGAUUUCGAAGGCUUCUGUCUGGUUGUUAAUUUAGGUUCUUUGUGAUCUUUGGAUGCGAUCUUCGGCUGCGAUGAUCGAGCAUGUCUUUCUGGUUUGUGUUGUUGCGGGCCCCGCUGUCCGCUUUGGAAAUCUUUGGGCUAGGCUUUCUGAGCUGGGCAUGUAUUAAAGUACAAAAAAGGGUCCGCCCACAACAAAUUUUAGGCAUGUUAUAUUUUCGACUUUUAUGUUUUCUGGCUUUUUUCUUCUUGAUAAGUAAAUAUGUUGGUAUAAUUUCUUGAUCAGAGAAAAAAACAUGUCGUUAUAAUUUUAACUGUUUCUGAAUGUUCGAGCAUUGCUCGAGAAGAGUUCGAGUAAUGCUCCAGGGUCCCAGAAUGCUCGAGUACAACUCGAGCGAUUAGUUUUUUAAAUCUUGGAAGAAAAAUAACUACAUGUCUUUAUUGUGUUAUUAAAAAAAUUAAUUUUCCAAAUUUCACAACUUCCAUACUAAAAGAGCACAACGAAAUACCAACACCAAUUAAUCAAUGAUCAUUGAAUGCCAGCAGAGACUUAGCUGCCUGAUUUGAAAGAUGCGAACAAGAUCAAAAUGUUCCUUUGGGGUCUUGGGCUCUGAGCUCGUGGCAAGCUUCUCACCAGUGAGCAAAUGGCUAGAAGACAUCAGCAGAGGAUAUCAUACAUCUUGCUCUAGCUGUAGUGGUCCACUCGAAUCUCUAACCCAUCUUUUGAAGGACUUGAGAGAUAGAGAGUACGUAGAGUUCGUAAGGUCCUUAUCCUUUACCCCUUUGCCGUUGGGUGGCUAAAUCUCAAUAUUCUCCAUUCCUAAGGCAAGAGUUUUUGGGUCUAGAGUGAGUUUCUGCCUUCUCAAUUUGGUCACAUGAAAGUAGAAUAUCUUUGAGCCACUUUCUAAAGUUCAACGCGAUUCUAAUAAAAACACUUAUGAGCAGAAAUGAGAGUGGGAGUGAGAAUGAACUUGAACAAAAGAAAUAAAUUCUCCGUGUUAAAUAUCAUGUGUAUAUUUCCUAUCCUUUCUAAUGCAUUACUUUACUUUUGAAUGAAUGAAGAUCUAAGCAAAACAUGUAAAUUGGCAGUUCAAGCAUGUCUCUAGAUACAGAUAGCAAUCUAUUCACUCACAUAUAAAAUCUCCAUUCUCUUGACCCUUUUUAGGCUUCCAUCCGUAGGAAGAGCUCAUUGUGAGAAAGAUAAAAAUUGAUACAUUAUUGAAUUCCAGUCCACAUGAGACCAUUGCAAAUUAGAAUGUCUUUGUGCUCUCAAUCAAUCGGAGAAAAAAAAACGUGGGAAGGGGGAAAUAAACUAUAACAUGGACAAUAGACAGAUACUCAAUUUGCCAUUUCUUCUGAAGGGAAUUUAUGAAAUUUACAAUGCAAGGUUCCCUCCAUGUCCAUUCUUCCCUUCUUCUCAUGCAGCUUUCCCUUGCUGGGUUUUAUGAACCAAAAAAAGGGUCAGAAGAGCAAUAAUAUUACACAGAUAAAUUUAUUUAAUGGAAUUGGAUGCAAGGGACUAACUGCCACAUGCAUGAGCUAAAUUUAGCUAUAUCUGACUUACUCGUUUCUCUUCUUCUAUUUUGGCCUUGAUGUAAGAGUAGAUUGCCACUCCUGCAAUCGCAAUGGCUGUCCCGAUACCAGUUUGUGUUGAAAUCUUGUUGCCUGUGAGCAGCAAGUAGCAAUUAGUUAUACAAAAGAAAAAGGGAAGUUGAAGAAGCAAAAGCAGAACCAAGCUGAAGAAAAGAAGAGCCUUACCAAAGACCAAGAUGGAAAAGCCAAUCACAAAUACACGUUUCAGCACAUUUCCAACUGCAUGUGUAAGAGGUGCCACUCUCUCCAGGGUAUUGGUGGCCAGCUGAUAAUUUCAUAACAGGAUACUGAUUAUUAACUUGGGCAACAUUUGAGUUAUUUUGAGAGGAUUAUCCUCCUACUAUUACAAAGCCAUAGAACCAUAAGUUACAAUAGAAAGUAAAGAAAACAAAUGUACCUGAUUAUAGAGAUGGUAGAACAAUCCCACCCAGAAGAGAUCAGAAACGAACUUGACAAGACCUACUUUAGCAAUUGCAUCAUUGAAGCCGUACUUAAUCAGUUGAGGCCCCUCUACCUGUGAUAUGAGAGAGGACAUUGAACCAAAAUUCAUCACAAUUUUUGUUUCAGUUGCACAAUCAAACUUCAAGGGUUCUCAAGUGUAAGUUUUACUCACGAUGAGAGCCGGUGGAAUGCAGACAAGAAGAGCAAUGAUCGAAAUAUAGGCAUAGAGAUUGGUACUGUCCAUAUCAGUCUGCAAAACCAAUAAAACGUUAUACAAGUAAGAAGCAAUCUUUAGCUCCCCAUGUUCUGUCCUAUUCAAAACAAAAUGCUAGCUAAAGUUCCAGAGCCACUCACCAUGGCUUUCUUUGAAUAGAUACUCCUGUAGGUAAAGGAGAUGUUUGAAAUCAUAGCACUAAUGAAGCCAGUCCAGUUGAAUGACAACUCAGUCAGCGAUGCCAUCGACACACCUUCAUUUUAAAAGUACGUAAAUACUAAGUGAGCAAAGACAGUCUGAAUAAAUUCUCAUGGCUCAUAGUUUUUGGGUAUCUCCAUGAUUUACAUUUUCCAUAGUUUUCAAUAGAAUGAUUGCAACGACGGGAUGAACAUAAAGAGAAGAGCAUACCAAGAACAACAGGAGCCAGGGACAGCCAUAGAGACAAGGGGAUUGAUUGUCCGAGAAUAAAUUGCGAAGCAGAGGCAUUGAAGAAUGGCUCAAGAGCUGCAACAAACAAAUUCAACGUCAAAAUGCAAUAAUUAAAAGUGCACUUGAACAAUUUUGGCCAUUGUACCAAACAUAUGAGAGCAUAAGAUUUGUCCUCCCACCUUUGAUGGUAUGUGUGAAGGAGACUGCAACGGCUGCAAAUGAGACAUUGCUGGUGACGUGGCCAAGUGCAUGGCACACGGCCACAGGGAUGAGCAGCUUCAACAGGUUUGAGUCAAUAGGCUGCACGGAGACGAGAAACACCAGUCAGUCACAUAAACAAGACAACCAACUGAACAGUGAACAGAUUGAGAUUAGCAUUAUGGGCCUGGGCCUGAAGUGAGUUCACUUACAGCGCGUUUAGGAAGGCCCACGGCCCAGCUUAUCAAACAGUACACCACUCCCACGCCCAAGUGCACAACCGACACAAAACUGCACACAAACCUCAAACCCACUUAUUCGACCCAAAAAAAAAAACCGCAAACCCACUUCAUCAGAAGUUCAGAACACAGACCGAAUUCAAAUGGCUAGAACCAGCUAAAUUACGCCUGAACAUGAAACACAUAUGCUAUCCUACGCUUUUUUAUUUAUUUGUUUACAAGAAUUAUAGGUAACGAAAAUUGAAAAUGGCACACUUACUAGGGAUACGGGAAGUAAUUGUAGAUCUUCUUGUUCAUGAUGUUGAAAAUCACAUUCAGAAAAUACCUGCCCGCCAAGGACGACUCCGUAAUUUCACAUACAAAAUAUUUCUCCCAAAAAAAAGCUUGAAAAGUUUAUUAAAAAACGUACCACAUGAAGAAGAAGAAGCCGGUGAGGAUAGCCGGGUACUUGUCGAAGAACCCGAGCGGCGCGACCUUCGCGUCCCUGUUAAGAGCACCGAGUCAGGCAGAAAAGGCCAAAAAGAAAAAAAGCAUUAGUCCGGAGGCCGACACGGGCGAGUCAGACCGAGUCGGAACGGAGGAAACGGACCUCACCCGGCGGAAUCGUUUCCCUCGGUCGGAGAGGAAGCGGCGGCGAGGCAAGGCCGGAGAAUCUCCCUCUUCAACGGCGAGGCCUCGAGCAGCAGCCCGGGGCGGAGUUGCCUCCCCCAUAUGAGGUUCCCGCCCUCGCUCACGGCGCCGAUCGGCCGAGCCGAGAAGAACGAAACGGCGGCGUUUUCCCUGGGAGAUGGUUUGCGGUGGCAGGGGAGGGCUCCGAAUGUGGUGGCGCGUGAUAGCACUCGCGACUCCAUGAUUGCUGGGGGAAUGAGAGUAAACUGAGAGAGAGAGAGAGAGAGAGAGAGAGAGUGGAGAAUGUGGUUUGGGAAGCUGCAGUGAGCUCUUAUUGGUGAUUCAGAGUAGACACACAGCACAGCAGAGACAGAGAUGAUGCGCACCGUUUUGGAGUGGGUGUUCGAGGGCGGUUAAUUGCUUUUGUUUUUGUUCGUCUGGGAUAUAAUCUGUUACGACGCGGAACAAGUUAAAUAAAAUGCAUCCACCAGUGAGAUUAGAUGAAGAACUUGAAAUGGUGAAUCGGAGGGUGUGGAGAGGUCGAUGAUGGCGGGAUAUGGUGAGGUGGGGGAGGGAGUAUGGGAGGUUAUGGUCGGUACGGGAUAUGUUUAUGGAGGAGAGUGAGUGAGGGAGAUAGGGGAAGAAGUUGAUAUGACUGUGGAGGGGGGUGGGGACAUCUUAUCCCCAGCGUAAGGCUUACGAGCAACGAAGAUUGGCAGUGUUUUGAAGCCUCUUAUCGAUUUUGUUUUCUUAAUGGCUUUUUUUUCUUUUUCUUAUAUGUGAUGAACUGUCAAAGCUGUCCGUGAUGUUGUUAUUUGCUUUUUAUUCACUGUUCUCACGAGAAGCCAACUGUUUGCCUCUGUACAAAAAUUAUUUCUGCAGUCCGUCCCAACCCAACUACCAGUCUACUAAAUUAAUUUCGUUUUCUAAGUGAAGAGGGAGAUUCAAAUUUGGAACCGAAAGAAGAAUAUCAUUACAUUUGGAGUAAAUUAGUGAUUAAAGAUAAUAGUUAACUUGGCUUAAGUAAAUACUAUUCCGGUCAUUGAGAGUACGGAAGAUGAAAUGCUUGAACCAAUUGGUAAUGUGUUCGAUUCUCCAUUGAAAUCAUCUAUUGUUUUUCGAAAUAAGAAACAAAUUAAAAUAGUGCAGGAAACUAAAAGAGUUCAAAGUUAAUGAUUAUGAGGAUACAACUAAUAAAAUGUUGGAUGUAUAGAUCAAAAUUAUUGUUUUAUGCAUCUUUUAUAACAAGUUGGUUUUCUUGGUGCAAUUGAAACCCCAAUAUAGAAGAACAUUGUCAAUUAAACUCCAACUAGCCAUUUAUUGGGCCUAUGACAGCGUAAAUUGUCGAUGGACCCGAUCCAUUUGUCUAUGGGCCUGAUUGAAGCAUUGCAUGUUCCCAUUUUGAUCCAAAUUGCCAAUGUCGUCGAGUGUUCGCGCCCUAGGCCGUCUAAAGCCUCUGCUGCUGAGCAUUACCAUUCAGGGACCGUCCAAGACGUCGGGAAAAUACGAUGAGUCUGAAAGAGAAAAACAAUUUCAUGAUAAUCAGUCCGCAGGUAAGGUUGCUGCUACUUCUGUUACAAUUAAAUUUCUACUUUCCCCUCAAAAUUCUUGUGUGAUUUAAAGUUCCCGCCUAAGACUGGUGUUACGGGACGACAUCUGUUUGAUGAAAUGCCCCACAGAGUUUAGACUAGGUGGCUUCUUAGCUUGAAUUUUACUGCUAAUCGAUUCAUGUUGUUCGUGGGUAGUUCUUUUUAUCUGGUUCUUGUCUCAUUUUGCUCUUAUGUUUAUAGAAAUGUAGAAAUUGAUUCAGAGAUUUGCAGGCAGAGCUUUUAUUGUGCAAAACUGAAACAUAAUUGGGAGUGAAUGAUAUUGUCUUAUUGAGAAAGAGUGCUGCCAAUACAAUGGGAAGCAAAACUUUGUUUAAAUGGUCGAAGCAAAUCACUACUUCCCAAGUUGAGCAGCUGAUAAAAGCUGAAAAGGACAUACAGAAAGCUAUUCUCAUAUUUGAUUCCGCAACAGCCGAGUACACCAAUGGCUUCCGGCAUGAUCACACCACCUUUGGUCUCAUGGUCGCUAGAUUAGUCUCCGCGAACCAGUUCAGGUCAGCCGAGGCGUUACUUGAUAAGAUGAAGGAGGAGAAAUGUAGUGUUACAGAAGAUAUAUUCCUCUCUGUUUGCAGAGGAUAUGGCCGCGUUCACAGGCCACUGGAUGCUGUCAGGGUCUUCCACAAAAUGGAGGACUUCCAGUGCAAACCAACCCAGAAAUCUUACAUUACCAUACUUGGCAUUCUUGUUGAAGAAAACCAGUUAAAGAUUGCUUUCAGGUUCUACAAGUAUAUGAGAGAAACGGGCAUUCCAGCUAGCGUUGUGUCGCUUAAUAUUUUGAUCAAAGCCCUUUGUAAGAACAGUAGUUCCAUGGAUGCAGCUCUUCGAAUAUUUUGUGAGAUGCCCAAUCAUGGGUGCACCCCAGAUUCAUAUACAUAUGGUACUUUGAUUAAUGGAUUGUGUAAGUUAGGAAAGAUUGGUGAAGCAAAAGAGCUCUUCAAUGAAAUGGAAACAAAAGGUUGUUUGCCCUCUGUUGUUACGUAUACUUCCUUGAUACACGGCUUUUGCCAAUCCAACAAUUUGGAUGAAGCUGUGGGAUUGUUUGAACACAUGAAAACCAAAGGUAUUACUCCAAAUGUCUUUACUUACAGCUCUUUGAUGGAUGGACUUUGCAAGGGUGGGCGUUCUUCACAAGCAAUGGAACUAUUAGACUUAAUGAUUCGUAAGCGCCAUAGGCCAAACAAUAUCACUUAUAGUACUUUGCUUCAUGGACUCUGUGAAGAAGGAAAGCUUCAAGAAGCUUUGGAGAUUCUAGACAGGAUGAAGCUUCAGGGCUUGAAACCAGAUGCAGGGCUGUAUGGGAAGGUAAUUAAUGGCUUUUGUAACAUUUGCAAGUUCCAGGAAGCUGCAAACUUUCUUGAUGAGAUGGUCCUUGGAGGAGUUUCACCUAACAGACUAACUUGGAGCCUUCAUGUAAGGAUUCAUAAUGCAGUCGUCCAGGGCUUGUGUAGUAGCGGCAAUCCAAAUCGAGCUUGUCAGCUGUAUCUUAGCAUGCGUUCCAGGGGUAUCUCCAUUGAUAUGAAGACAUUUGAUACUCUAGUGAGGUGUAUCUGUAAAAAAGGGGACCUGCACAAAGCUUAUCGAAUUGUUGAUGAGAUGGUGCUUGAUGGAUGUGUUCCGGAUGAGGGAAUAUGGAGUUCCAUGGUGGAUGGGUUUUGGAAUCGCAGGAAGGUGCGUGAACCUGCUGAGUUGUUGCAGGCUGAGCUGAUGAGUGAAAUGGUUGAGCCUGAAACAUAAAUCUGAAAGUUUUGAGCUAGUAAGUGCUCUUAUACACGUUUCAUUUAUUUUCUUUCUGGUCAUGAAAGUUUGUUCACCACAUUGCCUUUUCUUUUUCUUUUUAUGAAAUUAUAAGUUACUGGCUCAAAAUAUGACUACUUACGUGGCACAUGAUUUAUAAAGCACUUGCUUAGUAUAAUGUCAUUGGUAACUGUCCAUAGUGAAUUUAACCAAGAACGUUGGUAACUGUAGCGCUAGAAAGGAUUUUUCUGUAUAUUAACCAUGAAAUAUAUUUGGUUGACAAUCUUGAAGUAACUUGUUCUUCCUAUUAUUCACAUACCUCACUCAUGUACUACACUCUUUGGCAUAUAAGAGAAAUAAGUAUGACAAGCAUUUGUUAAAUCAGUACCAGAUACAAUCUAUCCUGUCAAGAAUCGAGGUUUUUAAAAGCUAUUUCUUUAAAGGUGGAACUAGGAUUUACAAAAAAAAAUAGAAAUCAUAUAACUGACAUUGACAGAGCUUGGAGGAAGCUGAUAUGGAAGAAUGAAUAAAUAACGUUGUGUGCAGUCCACAAUUUUAAGGAGCACGCAGGCAAAUAUUUCUUAAUUAAAAAAAGAGGAGUUGUUAAUUUACAGACAGGGGGAAGCCAAUUCCAUGGCGCUUGGUUGGAAAAACAACAAACAACAUACUGCAAAUGACACCAAUGCCAACUGGCAAUGCUGUGAGAAUCUCCUGAGCCUUAUCCGACGGGGUUGGAUAGAAGCAAUUCACUACAUUCUGAUCAAAUAGUGCAACAGCUGCAAAUACAAGUAUUGACAUAAAGGCAUGGAGGAAAUCUAUAAACCGCAGUUGGAAAUUUGCAUCAACUUCGGGUGAAAGGGUGGUUGACCCAUCGAUGAUCCAUAAGCCUCGGAAUGUAGCAAAGCCAUAACAGACAUUUCCAUUCUUGUCUCUAUAGCUGUCAGUGAAGCUCAGUAGAAAACAUGAAGCUCCACAGAGGGCUACAAGACCAGCAGUCAUGGACCGGCUGACUGAGUCACAGUUGCCUUGGUUUGAAAAUAUGGGUGCUAGAAGCUGAAAUGCAAGAACUGUUCCAGUUGGUAAAAGAUUGGCCAAAUGAGCUGUGCUUUGAAACGUCUGGCGAAUGGCUUUCUGUAUCAAGGUUCUUUCCUCCUCUGUUACGGACUUUGGCAUAUCUUGCAAGAGGGGAAGUUUUUGUUCAUCAUCAGGCCAGUGCCGGGAUUCCUCAGCUUGUAUCUUGAUCUCCAUUGACCAGAAACGCUUGAAGCUUCUUUUCCCUUAAUGUUUUGGUCUCUUUUCUUGGUUUGUUUUAGAAUUUUUGUUGGGAGGAACAAUGUUAUAUAGAUAGAGAAUAAAAAUGAAAAGAGUGGAGGUAAAGGGAGGGAAGAGUAGUUAGUCAUGCCUUGCAAGGAAGAGAAACCUAAAACUGGAACUGAAAUUGAGACAAAGCUGCUACCAAAUGGGAUUUUUGGUUUCGUGCAUAGAGCUUCAAAGUAGAUGAAAGAAAGCUUUUUGGUAUUAGACAAAUGUCCAUCAAGAGGCUUCAUUUUUGUGCUAACUGCCCAUCAAGCUUUCAUGACCGUUAUAGACCAUGGUUUUUAAAGUUGUCACAAAGAGGGAGGGGUGAUGUGAUCAGGUUCAAGAAGUUUGGGGCUUACAAGGUUUUUGUUGUUUGUUGCUGAAACGCAAAGUGUAUUGCUUAAAGGCAAGAGGCUUCAUAAGAGGUAUUCUUUACUUUUAUUAUUAUUACUUCUAAAUUUAGAAGUGGAGACCCACACUUCUUUGGUUUUAGGCUUUGCUUUUUAGUUUUUCCUUCAACACAUGAAAGUCCGUAUUGGAUGAGAUAUUAGGCUUCACUUUUAAGGAAUUGGUGUUAAGAUCAUACAUGGUGUCAUAUACUCAUACCUUGCACGUUAUAACUUUAUAAACAGGUGGGAAUUGAAACAGGGAAACCACUGUGCCAUGUGUUGAACUAUUGCUGCCAAAAAGGCCCAUUUUUGCAGGCACUGAUAUGCUGGAGUUUUAAUCCACUCACCUUCUAACCAAAAUCUUGCAAUACAUCUGCUUUGUCCCUUUGUUUUUUUUUUGUCUUUUUUGAUACCAACAGUAGUAUAAGCGACUUUAAACUAAUCUAACUUACGAGGAGAAUGACUCGAACUUAAGUGCAAAGGGAUGGACUCACUGCUCUGACCAAGUAGUCUAACUCACAUCUGCGCUUUGUCCAUUCACAUAGUUAAAACAAAUUCAACCCACCUCAUAUUUUUCAGAUCUGAAGCCCAUGUAUCAAAUUGGACACGUGUGUGGUGAGCCUAAAUGCACAGGCCCGUCUAUUUAAAAAGGACCAGGCAUACACGAAUAACCCAUUUGCUCUUGCUGGGCUCAAGAGAAGAUACCAAAUAGGCCUUUUUGUUUUGCUGUGUCCUUGUUUUUAAGCAAUUUGAAGAUAGGAAAACAAAGUCAAAAAAAAGAUGUCCUUUGAGAGCUAAAGGUCAUAGUUAUGGGGAAGAGAGACGUCCCAUUCAAAGAGUUUGACAAAUUAUGUGCCCUCUUCGCGUUGGACCAUGCAUAAUGCAUUGCCUGCCAAAGGGGUCACGAGGCUGAAGCAUAUAGAUAGACGCUAUAGGCAGAGACUUUUCAUCACUUUUUCCCAAGGCAGAAUUGUAGCUUCUACUUCUGCUUUAGCAUCCGUUACAAACUUUAACCAUAACGUACAUUUCAUUCAGUCACAGUAUCUUAAUCCUAAAGGAAUGAGAAUCUCGCUCUUGGUUUAGUGGGUACGAACUUAAAGCUUAAUGUUGAAAAAGGUUUUAAAUUCAACUCCUCGUGUCUUAAUAAAAAGAAAGACUUCAAAUCAAUAAGUGUUGCAUGUACUGUGGUCCUUUUCUGCAACUGCAACAUCACAAUGCUGGUGUAAAUUUUAUCAUUGUUACGAUUCCCUUCCUUUGUUAUUUUAAUUUUCUGAUAACUGAGAAGAAUCUUUGAACUAUUAGAUUACAGAAUCUGGUCCAAAUGGUUAGGUAACUGUCUACCAGCUACAACAGUGAAGUUGCUUUCAUUCUAAAAACAACUAUUUUUUUCAACUUUUGUUAUAUAGAUUUCUGGGUCUAAUUUGUAACUGUAAUUACCAAAAAACUGACAUAUCUUUGUUAAUUAGCCUUUGAUACUAGCAUGGCAUCUAGAGCAGACCCAAAAACAGAAAUUGUAGCAUCUAGGGAGGGAGGGAGGGAGGGAGGAAGGGAAGGAGGGUAUCUACAGUUUACCUUCAUUCAUGAUGACCACCAACCCCUACUUCCUACUCCUUAAAUGAUUUAAAACAUUGUGAAAUAAUGACACCAUCAAACUGGACCCAUAUAUUAUAAUUUUGUUUCUUUAGGGCAUUCAUCAAGAAAUCAUGAAAGAAAAAAAAAUUUAUGGCAUCUGAAUUAAUAAUUAUAAAGGUUUUUCCCAGUACAUUUUAAAGUUGACCCCAUCUUUUUUUUUUUUUUUUUAAAAGACCCUACAAAAUGCACAAGCAAAUGAUCAUUUGGAGAGAGGUGGGAGAGGGGAGGGGGUGUGGUGUUCUGAAUGAUGUGCUGGGUGUGAUGAUGAAUUGUGUCAUGUAGCCUAUUGGCACAAACAAGCAUGUAGACGAUCAUAGAGUGCGAACCUUAAAAGAAGUCAAGGGAAAAUGUUUUUUUUCUUUUUCUGGCUUGGUUGUUCACCUUUCAGUUUCUUUCUAGUACCAAUUGAUUUGUUGCUUGCUGCUUUUCCCUCAUUUUAUGGACUGGUUCAGAAAGCCAAAAAAAAAUUCAAUGAUGCCAUAUGGCCACGAGAAUGCUUUUCUGCAUAUGCACCCAUAUGAAAACUGUGAAUGAAUUAUGAAUAUGACUUUGUUGAUUUUAUGUUCUAACCAUCAAGGCUUUGUUAUUACCGUUAGAAUGAAUUUGUAACACGAGUGAGUAUUAUCUCUGUAUUCGAGGUUUUGUGUUUAAAUUCUACUCUUUCAAUAUCAAUUGUAUUAAAAAUAAUAAAUAAAGACUUUGUUACCGUUUUAAUAUAUGUGUAAAUUCAAUAUCAUUGUCCAUCUAAAUCUUCUUAGCAAUUAACAACUUGAUUUCUUUCCUAUAUUUGUGAGAAAUCAAAUUUUAUACGUUUGGCUUGGAUUCUCAGAUUCUUGCCUGGAAACGACUAUGCGCCAAGGAGGAAACAAAGAAGAAUAUGCAGGGCAGUUUCCUGAUAAAUUAUGCAUACGUAUAAAAUUGAAAUUUUUUAAAUAAAAAAAAAAAGAGUACAGAAAAUGAUUCAGGGUCACGGGUUCUGCAAGAGAAGAUAAGGAUGGAUGUGUGAUGUGCCACAUCUGUUCCUGGGUUAUUCGGUACUCCGUUCAUUGGAUUACGUACUAAUUUUGAAUUAGAAAAAUAUUUAAGUAUUAAUUUAGAAGAUGAUUUUGCCCUUCUCAAACCUCCUGCACUCAUUUAACACUUGAGGAGUGCAUAAAAUUGUUUUUAGAGUCCAAAAUCAAUCUAAAUUUUCAGAUAAGUAUAGCUAGGGUUGGAUAUGGUUCGGUUCAGUCUUGUUUAGGGCCAAAACCAGUACUCUUUUUGUUGUUUUCAUGUCCAAAAUUAAUAGGCGAAAACUACCAAAACCUUAGGCGAUUAGGGUUUUAGCAUAUUGGAGAGGUCAGUUUUCUGAGACAUGUCAUGCCUUUGAAUUUUAUAUAUAUGAUGCUCAUGCGGGUCAGUUUCUGUCUUGUAUGAUUCUAUCCAGGACAAUGCAUGCCAUAUAGUAGAUACUCAAUCGAGAUUGCAAGGCCAGUCAUGCAUCAAUCCCACCUUUUUCCACAUCAGUUUUGGCUUCUUUUUCUUUGAUAUUUCUUCAACUUCAAGAGUCUCUCAAGUGGGUCGUACUCCAUUUGACUAUCGAAUGGCUAUAACUUAAGGCAGCCUUUCAGGGAAAAAAGGAAAAAGAACAAAGACUUAUGAUUUCAUUGACUUGAUUAAGAGUCGUUUCUACAAUAGAUCCAAAAUCAUUUUUGGCAUCAUCUCUUAGUGUCUGGAAUAGAUUGAUGAUAAUGAUAUAAUCAAUAUUCGAACCCCCCUCAUUUAUGAGACGGCUAAUUAGUCUAGAAGAAGAGCAUCAACCCCUUCAAUCAAAUGGGUUUUCUUAAUUACACUUCAAGCAAUCUUUCACCCUACAGAUUGUGAUAAAUUUUUAUAACCAACCUUCAAAUGUCGCUUUUUACAAUAAAUUAAAACUUGUUUAUCUUUAUAAUAUUGAAAUAUGCCCUAAAAUUCGUAUCCAAAUGAUGAAAUCACAGAAUUACAAAGUAGCCAACGUUGCAAAUCAGUUUCUUUUUAAAUAAAAAGAAAUGGGCAGAGUGAAUCUAAUUAUAAAAACCUAGAAUACUUAAGCUUUACUUAGUAUGAGGUCUCAAGUUCAUAUUAGUCAAAGAUUCGCAAGCGUGUAUGCUCCAUUUGGGACUAAUAAGUCAAAAAACGUCACCUAACGCAGUCAGUUGCUGCUCCAACAAAUACCACUCUUUACAUUAUUUUUCUUGAACUCACUUGUUUAGGGACUAAUUAGGCGACUAGUUCAACAUAAUCAUAAAUUAAGCAAGCGUAUUACCGUGGCGAUGCAACUUCUGUUUCCAAACACAUGAAAUCUUCUAAACUUUCGACCCCAAUGUCUUGACCAAUUAGCCGUUUUCCAGAUUAUCAUACAUUUUAAUGAUUGCUAGACGCUAAAGAGAGAAUAAAGUUUUAUUCCUCCUCUUAGACUCCAGUGGGGUUUAAACACAUAACAUAAUCCUAUUCAGAUUGAUUAAUCUCUGUUAAUUAAUUAGUCCUGUUUUGUUUAAAGCUUCCCAAAACCUUUUCAAUGGUGCUAGGAUGGCCAGUUUAUAAACUUUAUAUAUUAUAUGACAUAUGUACAUACAGCUGGGCAUGCAUUUGGUGUUGGUUUCCCAUUAAAGCAUGACCUCUGCCAAAAAAAAUGUGUAAAGAAAGUGAAAAGAGUUGCCUUUGCCAUGACCUUUCUCUCAUUUAAAUCCUUGGGGAGGAAAAGGAAGGGGUGCAUGCUUUCAGAAUAUGCAUCUUUUGAAUUAGUCUUGUAAACCCUAUUAAACAAUAAUCCUCUGCGUACCACAUCCAUAUGGUAUAGAAAAUAAAAAUAAAACCCAGAGGAAUAAAAUCUCAUGGGAUCUUCCCAAGUGUACCACUAAUGAUUUCAGAAGAGCAGGAAAGUGAGGGAGGCCUGUUGAGAAAAGAAGAUAAAGCGGAACACUCCAAAUGGGAGAAAAUUUUGCCACAUACUGUUCAGAUGCAUCUUUUUCUCACAUCAGAUAAAGUGGAAGGUGAUGGUGGCAUUGAGGGAGAAAGGUGGAAAUGAAGCAUAAGAGGACAAUUAUGAUUAUGGUUAGGAACAGACUCAACUCAAAUGGGUUGGAUCCACCAUAUCCUUUUUUCCCCCCCUCAAAGUUUGUAAAAAAGCCAUUGAUCUUGGCCCUACAUAUCUUGCCUUGUAGGUUCCACAAAAUACCUCUCAAUCUUUCAAGGGUGCUGCUGGAUCUGCUUCUUCUUCUUGUUUUUUUUAAUUUUAUUUUUAAGGGUCGGAAUAGGUCUGCUUCUUUUGUGUUAGAAAAGUGAUGGCACUGAGGCUUUUUGUACCAAUUCUUUUUAUAUUUUGGGUUUCUGGAAACCAAUUGUUUUUUUGCAAAAUUUAUUGCAAUAAAGAUAAAAUCAUGAUUGAGUUAGGAAUUUAGGAAGGUGUGCUUAAGUUGGGCCACUGCUUCAACCUUUUUCUUUUUAGACCAGAAAUCUGAGUUUAAUUAAAUCAUCAUAGAAUUUUUAUUAGCAGGCCACCAAGAAAUCUUUUUUGUUAAUUAAACUUGAAGCAAAGCUCAAGCACGACCCCUCAAGCAUCAUGUAAUUAUAUCUCGAAACAGUAAAAAUUUCAGAAAGUUCUAAGCAAAACUAAUAAUCACACUUAAUUUCAACAUUUGGUAAUUAGCUUUUUCAUCAAUCAAAAGUUACCCUUUUUUGCUUUCUAAUGUGGAAAUGGAAAUCAUAAAACGUAUGCGUCUCUUGCAAACAAACAGCAAUAAUUUUGUUGUACCAUUAGCUUUGCCAACAGAAGAGACACACAGACACAUGGUUCUUCUGUUCAUGUUUGAGUUGAGAUUGAUGUAAGGCCAACCUCAUGCAAACGUUAUCAUAACUCGGGGCAAAAAAAAAAAGGGAAGAAGAGAAUCGUAAAGCUUUGUGUUUUACUUGCCUGAAUAAUUUGGUAAAGCUUUCAAGUUGAUUUUGCCCUUUUGUCUGCAUGCACAGAUAGUGAGCCUCCUCUUUUCUCGCGGGUGACAAGCCCCAUCAUAUCUUCUACAACAAUGUCUUUACCUAACCAAUUUACUGUGCAUGUUCCCCUCCUGAAACUAUCUGUUGUGUAUUAGGGCUUCAGCUAUGCACUCUCUAAGAUUCUGUGUCUUAUGUUAUCACUCCGUGACUUUAAACUAUUGAUUAGGUUGAUUGAUAGGGUUUAUAUAUUGAUUAUGUUGAUUCUUGUUUGAAUGUGUAUUUCGAAUUCAUAGUUUAUCAAAAAUAAAUAAAAUCAUAUGCACUGUAAUCAAGCUUAUUGAUCGGGUAGGUUAAUACUCGUCUAAACCUAGAAUUCAGACUCACAAUUGACCAAUUGUGGGACAAGAACAUUAUGUACCCUAGAAUUAUAAUAGAAGUAGGUAGCAAUUAACUUGGAAGGCUUAAAAACAUUUGCAUUGGGGGAACAGAUAAGUAAAAGCGUUGUGUCUAUCAGUGUGACGUUUAUCGAGUAAGAAUUGAAGUUGAAGGAGAUGGCAAUUGGGUGAGGAUUAAAUAAAGAACAGGGUAGGUGGUCCAGGUGGAUGUUAUAACAUUCAGUAUAGGUUAGGUGGCAUACGUUGAAUGCUGAGAUUAAACCAAAGUUGAUAAGUUAGAGGCUCAAUUUAAAUACAGUGCCACUAUGCCAGACACCAGUCAUGAUACUUGUUCCCGACCUAAAAAAUCAGCACUACUGUGUACAUUUACUCGAAAAGAGAAAGGAAAAUAAAACCCACACCAGAAUUUACAAAAUUUUUGAAUAGUUUUUCUAAGCAGUUUUGUAUGCCAUUAUACAUAUAGAGGAGACUCGAACUCGUAAUCUCUUAUAAUAUUAAAAGAAAUUUAUUAGACUAAGAGCUAGUUGAUCCGAGUUUUUAAGUUAUUUUAAGUUAUUUCUUUCACUGUUCAAACAUCAAAACAUUUAUCCAAAGGUUUUUUUGUAAGUUUAUGCAUUCCAAUUUGGAUUCUGGCAGCAGCCAACUUGGAAAAUGUUCAGCACAUGUGACGUGCCUUUGUGUUCAAUCAAUUUCUACUUCCGGUCUACUCGAAGUCCCAAAAGCUUCUUGGUGGUUUCAAAUCAUCUUCCUGGAAUUUUACCCAUUAUUCAAGCUUUGAGGCAAUCUAUCAACAUCAGACAAAACCUUUAACAUAUCCAAUUUACAAAGAGACACCACUCGCACAGCCUUUUAUUUUUUAUAUUUUUUUUAUAAAAAAAUUACAAAAAUAUUUGCUUGGGCGGAACAUGCAUGUACAUUGUACUGUGUACAGUACGGUUUAUAAAUGUGCUGCCAAGUCCCAGAUUUACCACCAAACAAAUUAAAAUUUAUUUUAAUUUCCUUCACCAACCCUUGCAAUUUAAAUUUGAAUUUUUAUUCUUCUGUAUAUAUAUAUAUAUAUAUAUUUUAUCAAAAUAAAACCUUGACUUUGAAUUUCAAAUUUGACUAUCGACAGGUACAAAUCAAGUUGGUGGAACCUUAUUGCAAACCCAACAACUUAUACAAUGCGAAUUCACAAACAUCUGGGUGUCCAGAAAGACAAGCAAAUAACGGCAUUGCAUUCACCAUCCCCAAUAACUUCAAAACCAUCCAAUUACAAUCAUUUAAGAAAGUCCAAGAAGCUAAGAACACUUUAUAUAUGUUGGGUUGAUUCCCUUUUAACUGCCACAUAAUGUAGUUUUAAUAUGUUGUGUUCUUAAAUUAUCAAUAUAAAUUACGCAAAUUUCUUAUUUAAUUAUAUUAUUUGAUAACGUUAUGAUAGAUGCACAUAAAUGUACUUCAGGCGAAACACUCUCAUGCAAUUGAGAUAAUAUUUUUUGAUAUAUUCGAUUAAUAACACAAGAGCAAGUGGAUUAACUUUUUUUAUGUAUUAUUACGUUAUUAAUCAAAAAUAAUAAAAUAGUAUUAUCUUCGUCACAAUAAAGAUUUUUUUAUUACCGAAUAGCAGGUAUGCUCGACAAAGUGUGUGUCAUACUUGUCGAAUUGUCAGGGGGGGGAAACUCUGGCGCGCACGGGGUUAAAAUGUCCUGGGUUUGGCAGCAAAAGCAAAGGCCUCGUGUGGGCCACCCCCAGGAAGAGUAGGACCCAAAGAACAGCUAGACCAUUUUACCAUGGCCGGUGUCUGAGUACCCGCUUUGUGGCCUAAACUCAUCCACUUUUGGGGAAAAGAAAACGACGGUGAUUAAUGAAGAAUGCCAAGAAAUUGGUGGGGGAGCGUGCCAAAAUUAAACAGUAGAAGAAAGUUGUAGACAAAAAUGGAAAAUUUUGGAACUACCCCAAUAUAUUUUACACUAUUUAUGGUUUGGUGUAAUUUUAUUCGUUCCAUUCUUAUUUAAUCCUUCCCCUUCUGCAUCUCACUAACCUUCUCCAAUGGAACAAAAUCUGUCUCCCUUAGAUGUAGAGUUGUAAAUUUACAUGCUUAUCCCUUGAUAGUUUGGGCUUUUCUUUUUCCCAAACUUUUUUUUUCCUUACUAUCUACCCAGCAAUUUUACACAAUUGUUUGUUGCACGGGAAAAGUUUCCUUAUAUAAAUAUGUAUUUGAUUUUGUUCAUUUUUUUCAUUCGAGACGUGGAGUUUCAAAACAGACUUGCUUAUUGUAAAUGCGAGAUAAUUGCUAUAUGACUAAAAGUUAUGAGGUCCUACAGUUUCACUUAUAUUUUGACAAACACAUAAUACAACUAACUAUGAAUUACGUGUAUUUAUUAUGUAAUUUGAGUAGCAUUUCUACGCAUGAAUAUUAGAAUUCAGACGUUCAAAUUCACAAUUUGUUUUAUGUUCCAAAAAACUCACUUUAUAUGUUAUUUGCGAGUUCAGGAGAAGUGUACGUAUUAUUAAAUACAUUAAUAAUAUUUAUAAGAAAUUAAAAAGAAGGUGGAAGUGGAGAGUUUGAAAAUAAGCGUAAAAGUAAGUAAGGGUCAUUUUGCAAAUCCCAUGACCCAAAAAUUGGGAAGUUUGAAAAUUCCCUCCUUGAAGAACCGUUGAAAACUUGUAAGUAACAUUGUCUUGACUGUUGUGUGUGGAGAGAGCACAUAUUCCCAAAAGCUUGGACAUUGGGCAGCACAGAAAGGUCAAUUGGAGUUUCCAUUUUCUACCGCUGGUUCUUCAAGUCAUGCAAACUGUUCCUCUGCCUCUGGCCCUGUGAUGAAAUCUCCACCGAAUCUUGGGCGUCAGAUUGAUCGGAUGGUUUGGUAAGCUACUGUAAUAGAUACGAUUUUUGCCUGCUUUGUAGUCUUACCCUUUUGGACACUACCAAUGGCUAAGCAUAAUAACGAAUAUACGGACUGAUCUCCACCGUGCACGGCACCUAACCCCAACAAAAUCUUCCUUUCUAGACUGAUUUCUUAACCCCUACCUAAACCCUUUUUUUCUGUGGUCAAAUUUAGCAAUAAAUUUGGACGUUAAACUAUAAUUAAUUAAAACCAACUUUCAACUUUGCCAUUGGUAAUUGCACUUCAAUCCCAAAUUUCUUGCGUUGUUAAUUGGUUUUCCUAAAACAUGCCCUUUAUUAUAUUUUUAAUGGAAGUUUGAAAAAUGAGGACAUAUACAUUGGGGACACCAUAUCUCAACUCUGGGAGAAAAACUUACUUAUUUCUUGUUUCAUAUAUAUUUCUCCACGUCUAUCAUCUUAUGAUGUGCAAUAGGAGAGAUGAGAAAAAAAAGGCUAUAAAACAUGUUACAUGGAAGUUUUACUCAACUCGAAAGUAGUAUAUGAUAAAAACAUAUAAUCCGACAAGAUAUAUGUGUGUAAAACGUUCUUCUUUUUUUUUUUAAGUGCCCAAGUAAAAAUAUUAACAAAUAAAGUGAAUGUGAUCCCGAGUUCUCUCUAGCUACGAGAGAGAGGGAAGCCAAUUCCAUGACGCUUGGUGGGGAACAGGACAAACAACAAGCUGCACACAACAGCAAUUCCGACAGGGAACGCCGCUAAAAGCUGCUUGCCCUCCUCCGACGGCUUGGGGUAGAAACAGUUGACAAUAUUCUGAUCAACCAAAGCCAGUGCAGCAAAUACAAAUAUGGACAUCAAGGCAUGGAAGAAAUCAAUGAAUCUCAGCCUGUACUUGGCCACCUCCUCCGGUGCAAUGGGGACUUUCGACCCGUCGAUGACCCACAACCCUUUAAAAGUCGCCAACCCGUAUCGAACCUUGCCCCGUUCGUCCCUCAAGCUGUCGGUGAAGCACAAGAGGAAGCAGGUAAGGCUGCAGACUAUUAGAAGUCCUAGCGUCAUGGUUUUGUUGAUGGGGGUAGGGCACUGCCCUUGGCGUGUGAAACCCGGGGAGAACAUUUGGAAAACGAGGACCGUUCCGGUGGGAAGAAGAUUUGACAGAUGGGCUGUGCCUUUAAAGGUCUUUCUAAUGGCCUUUUGUGCAGGGGUUUUUGGCGGUUUUGGCGCAAUUGAUGCUGCAUUAUUUUCCAACAGUGGUUGCUCAUAUGUUUCUUGAAGUGCAGGUGCAGCCAUGUAGAUAUAUAUAUAUAUAUAUAUGUAUGUAUGUAUAUAUGAGUUCUAUUUCUGUAUGAGAUUGGCUCAAGAUUGAUUCUUCAUUAGCUAGGGUUUGUGUGUUCUUCUUAAACUUUGAUUCACCGUGUGCUUUGUUAUUAUGGAAGAUUGGAAUAUAUAUGGUUAAGGAAAAUUUGUUUUUCUGUUUGGUGUUAGCGAGCAAAUGGUUAAUUUUUAGAGAUGGAUGGAUGAAGUGUUGAUCAACUGCUCUUUUUCAUAACUCUGGCCUUCUAGUAACUGUUGUACAAAUUAAUUUUCGUUAGGGAGUUUCAUUUGAUUGGUUGUUGUGGGAUCUAGGUAGGAAGGGUUAGGGUUAGGGUUUACUGAGAUUGAAUGGACGGGAUGGAGUAUGAAUUACGUUCGCAUUACUAAAUGAACAUGGAAAACAAAUUUAAUUUAUACCAGCCUAAUGCUUCAUGGUACUUAUUUUUUAUAAUUAAGUAAAAUAUGUAUCCAUUCUACAUAAAUGAAUAAUAAAAAAACACACACACAUUUGAAUUAACAAUAAUGUCUUACCACAUUUUAUGCCAUAGUUCUUUUUGAGAAAAAAACGAUAGUUAUUAUUGAUGAAACAUAUCAAAGUGCAAAGUCAUAAAAGAGUUUGAUCUGGAGAGAAUUAAGCCUAAACCAACAAAUACUCAACCCUUGAUUCAACAUCUAGAAGGACUCUUACUCAGACUAACAAUACAUCUUCACCGUGCAACGACAAAAAUGGCAUACCUGUAUUGCAGCCGAAAACUAUAAUGCAAAGCACAACAAACUCUUAAAGAGUUCAUGAAAAUUAAAAUAAAAAAUGCAGCAAACUCCUAAAGAAUAAUAGAAUUAAAACAAGAAACAUGAACAAGCAACAUGCCAUUGUUCUAUUUGGCUGAGAUGGCGAGAUCACAUAACCUAUAGUUAUGUUGUUUCAUGCCUUCAAUUAAUCAGUUCUGAUUUCUUGAACUACAGAGAUCCAAGAAAUUUGUGGUUACUCACUGUUGAAUUUGUUCACUAACUCUUGCACUUUUUAUAAGAAAUUUUUUUGAAUCAUUGGAUUAAUAUCCAAUGGUAAGUGACCACAAUCAGGAUUGUCAAUUAAUAGCUGAAAAUGUAUUUUUAAUAUUAAAAUAAUAAUAAUAAUAAUAAUAAAGAAAGAGGUUUCUCACACACACGUUAUAAAAUGUCAUGGAAAUUCGAAUAUGAAACCUUAAUCUACAAGUUCAUGCCUUUUCCGCUAGUUAGAUUCUGUUUGUAUUAUACCUUGUGAUUUGUUUGCCAUGAGUGAACCCUUAAAUUAUUAUAGAGGGGCAACGACUUUGUUUUUUUUAUUGAACAAGAAGAACAAAGAUUGAUAUGGGUCUAGAAAAAGGAAAAAGAAAUAAUUUUAACAUAAAUGAGAUGAAGUGAGUUGGGCUUAUCCUCACUAUGGGAAUGUCGUUUUCUCUCAUGUACUACAAACUGACGGUCGGCUUUUCUUUGCAAAGCCAAGCCUCCGCCCGCCACGGUGGCUGCCUCCAUCCAUAAACCGUCAGCCAAGACGACCACGAACUGCAAGCCUCAAGCGUUAGAAACCUGACUGAGAAAAUCCAAGUAGAGACUCCAGAUCCGAAGCGUUAACCCAGACACACCACCAACCACACCCUGAUCACGCUAAUCUUGUGCGAGCUUCCUCUUUUCAGACUUGCAGUGUUAAAUUUAAAAAUUUUUUUUAAAAAAACAAAGAUUCAAAAAACGUGAAUUUUCGUAACUGCAUGUCUCAUUCUACUAAUUAAACUGUAUUAGUCUAAUCCAGGGCCAUUAAUCUCAGACCUCCAACACCGUCAAUCCCCAUCGCACCUCGGAGAGACCGACGUGGUCGACCUCCACCUCCAGAUUUAUAGCCGUUGACCGUUCAACCUUAUCACUAAUAUCAUUCGGAACGUACUUAAAUAUUUUAUUAUUUUCUUUAAAUGAAUAAUAAGUUUUGUAUUUUGCAUACAAAUUCAUAUUUUUUUUAGUGAGUUCUUAUGUUACAUUGUUAUAAUAAAAAUCUUGGUUAGGGGCAAUGACGCACCUCCUCUCCUUGGAUUUAAGUUCGAAUUCGAACUUACGUUGUUAUAAAUUAGAUUAAUUAGAUCAAUAAAAAGAAAAUCUCACAUAUUUAUUUGUAGAAAUUAUGCAAAAUUAUUUUGUCUCUAAAAGUUAGAAAAAGAAAAGAGAAAGUUGGAGAUGAAUUAUGUUUUACUACACAAGAAAACAUUUUUCAUAAAAUGUUUCAUAGACAAGAAGAAAGUAAAAAUGUAGUCAUCAAUUGAGAGCCUUCCGUCAUAAUUUUUCUACCAAGUUCCCAACACAAUCAAUUACUUUUCCCUCUUUACUCAAAAACCACUUCACAUAUAUGAACACACCCACCCAAUAUUCACCCCACAAACACAAACACAAACACAAACAGAAACACACACCCUUCCCUCCUCCGCCUCGCUCCUCACUCCCAUUUCUUUCUAGAAGCAAACAACAGCACCGAAAAUGCUUCUCUUCCUCCCUCUCCUUCUGUCCCUCCUCUUCCCCCCACUCCCAACCCUCUCUGUCAACCAAGAAGGCCUCUACCUCCAGCACUUCAAAAACUCCCUAGACGACCCAGACUCCACCCUCUCUUCAUGGAACGACCACGACGUCACGCCGUGCUCCUGGUCUGGCGUCAAAUGCGACGCCACCUCCAACGUCGUUCACUCCAUCGACCUCUCCAGCAAAAACCUCGCCGGCCCUUUCCCCACCGUCCUCUGCCGCCUCCCCAACCUCACCUUCCUCUCUCUCUACAACAACUCCAUCAACUCCACCCUCCCCCCCUCCCUCUCCACGUGUCAGCAUCUCGAGCACCUCGACCUCGCUCAGAACCUCCUCACCGGUGCCCUCCCCAGCACCCUACCAGACCUCCCCAACCUCAAGUACCUCGACCUCACCGGCAACAAUUUCUCCGGAGAAAUUCCCGACACUUUCGGCCGCUUCCAAAAACUCGAGGUCCUCUCUCUGGUCUAUAAUCUCUUCGACAGCACCAUCCCGCCGUUCCUCGGCAACAUUUCCACCCUCAAAAUGCUCAACCUCUCUUACAACCCGUUUCAUCCGGGUCGGAUCCCGCAGGAGCUCGGCAACUUGACGAACCUCGAGGUCCUCUGGCUCACCGAGUGUAACUUACUCGGCGAGAUUCCCGACUCGCUGGGUCGCCUCAAGAAGCUCACCGAUUUGGACCUGGCCAUCAACGACUUGAACGGCACGAUUCCGGCUUCGCUCAGUGAGCUGACCAGCGUUGUUCAGAUUGAGCUCUACAACAACUCGUUGACCGGAGAGUUGCCUCCCGGAAUGUCGAACUUGACCCGGCUGAGGCUGCUCGACGCGUCCAUGAACCAGCUGAGUGGGCAGAUUCCGGACGAGUUGUGUCGGUUGCAGCUCGAAAGUCUCAACCUUUACGAGAACAAUUUCGACGGGAGCUUGCCCGAGAGCAUUGCGAACUCGCCCAAUUUGUACGAGCUUAGACUCUUCCGAAACAAACUCACCGGCGAGUUGCCCCAAAAUCUCGGGAAAAACUCGCCGCUGAAAUGGCUUGAUGUUUCGAGUAACCAGUUCUCGGGUAGCAUCCCGCCGACUCUUUGCGAGAAGGGACAAACAGAAGAGAUUCUGAUGAUACACAAUUAUUUUUCCGGCGAGAUUCCGGCAAGUUUGGGUGAGUGUCAUAGCUUGACCCGGGUCCGAUUGGGUCACAAUCGGUUAAAUGGGGAAGUUCCUGUGGGUUUUUGGGGGCUGCCUCACGUGUAUUUGAUGGAGCUCGUUGAGAAUGAGCUUUCUGGGCCGAUAGCGAAGACCAUUGCCGGAGCGGCGAACCUCUCGCUUUUAAUUAUAGCGAAGAACAAGUUCACGGGUUCGAUACCGGAGGAGAUUGGAGGGGUCGAGAGUCUUAUGGCGUUUUCUGGUGCCGACAAUGGGUUCAGUGGGCCUUUGCCACAGAGCAUAGUGAGACUUGGGCAGCUUGGAACUCUGGACCUCCACAAUAACGAACUGUCUGGUGAGCUCCCAAAUGGGAUCCAAUCUUGGACGAAGCUCAACGAGCUCAAUUUGGCAAAUAACCAGCUUUCUGGGAAAAUCGCAGAUGGGAUUGGGAACUUAACGGGGCUUAAUUACCUUGAUCUUUCCGGGAAUCGACUUUCCGGGAGAAUCCCAGUUGGGUUGCAGAAUAUGAGACUCAAUGUGUUCAAUUUGUCCAACAAUCGGCUUUCGGGUGAGCUCCCGCCUCUUUUUGCUAAGGAAAUUUACAAAAAUAGCUUUUUGGGAAACCCUGGUCUUUGUGGAGAUUUGGAAGGGUUAUGUGAUUGCAGAGCCGAGGUGAAAAGCCAGGGGUAUAUAUGGUUGCUGAGGUGCAUCUUCAUUCUAGCUGGUUUAGUCUUUGUUGUGGGUGUGGUUUGGUUUUACUUGAAGUACAAGAACUUCAAAAAGGCUAACAGAGCUAUCGACAAGUCGAAAUGGACAUUGAUGUCGUUUCACAAACUGGGCUUUAGUGAGUAUGAGAUAUUGGAUUGCCUUGAUGAAGAUAAUGUGAUUGGCACUGGGGCAUCUGGUAAAGUGUACAAGGUUGUUCUAACCAGUGGAGAGGUUGUUGCGGUGAAGAAGCUAUGGAGAGGGAAAGUAAAGGAGUGCGAGAAUGACGAUGUUGAGAAAGGUUGGGUCCAAGACGAUGGCUUUGAGGCAGAGGUUGACACUUUGGGGAGGAUUAGGCACAAAAACAUUGUGAAGCUUUGGUGUUGUUGCACUGCUAGGGACUGCAAGCUCUUGGUUUACGAGUACAUGCCAAAUGGUAGUCUUGGUGAUUUGCUGCAUAGCAGUAAAGGAGGGUUGCUGGAUUGGCCUACAAGGUAUAAGAUAGGUCUUGAUGCUGCGGAGGGGCUUUCUUAUCUGCACCAUGAUUGUGCUCCUGCAAUUGUUCAUAGAGAUGUGAAAUCAAACAACAUCUUGUUGGAUGGAGAUUUCGGAGCACGAGUGGCGGAUUUUGGAGUAGCCAGGGUGGUUGAUGCAACUGGGAAAGGACCUAAAUCUAUGUCGGUCAUUGCAGGUUCUUGUGGUUACAUUGCUCCAGGUCAGUGAGUAAAUUUCUAUUCAAAUUGCAGAUAAAAUUCCCUCGAAUUUAUGUUGUAUUCAUGUUCUUGUAGAAAGUUUAGAUUUUGAUGCUGAAAUUUGAUUGUGUUGUGCUCCAUCAUUCUUGAAGAGGAAUGUGCGGUGCACGAUAUUUGUUCAAAACUCUUGCCAAUAUCUCUCCAAUUACUUUCAUAUUGUCUAGUUAAAAAUAUUAUUCUAGUAUUCUAAUCCUGUAAAUGUAAUCUUGCUGCAGAGUAUGCUUACACCCUCAGAGUGAAUGAGAAGAGUGAUAUCUACAGUUUCGGUGUGGUUAUUCUGGAAUUGGUUACUGGAAGACUCCCAGUUGAUCCAGAGUUUGGAGAAAAGGACUUGGUGAAGUGGGUCUGCACCACUUUGGAUCAGAAAGGAGUGGACCAUGUAAUUGACCCCAAAAUUGAGUCUUGUUAUAAGGAAGAAGUUUGCAAGGUCCUCAAUAUUGGCCUCCUCUGCACCAGUCCUCUCCCAAUUAAUCGUCCAUCUAUGAGAAGAGUUGUGAAAUUGCUGCAAGAAGUGGGCACAGAGAAACAUCCCCAGACUGCCAAAAAAGAGGGGAAAUUGUCACCCUACUACUAUGAAGAUACCUCAGAUCAUGGAAGUGUAGCUUGAGAAGUUUCAUAUAUGGCCUGUUGCAAAGCAAUGGUUAUGGGGGAAGUUUUAUAUCUAAGCUUUAUUUUAUCAGUUUUUGAAGCUUUUUUGAAAGCUAACUUCCCAAAUCGUUUUCACCCCCUCUUGGGUUUUGAUCUCAUAGCAAGCAAGGAGGGAAGAGAAUAUUGAGAGGAAUUUCUUUUUGAGAAAGGGGAAAGUUAUGAGGGGGGGUGGGGUUAAUAUUCUAUACUGUAAAAAUUGAUUAACCACCAAAGUUUUUCAUCUGCUAAGUUUAAGUAGCUACCUGCAAGUUGCAAUGGCAGACCUCCUUGACAGUGAUGUAUACACUGUUUAGUGAUUGUGAUUUGUCUCUGAAAUCUCACUCGGGAUGUAUGAAAUGAAAUGGGAAUUCUGGCAUUUAUGAGCAACCCUUGUAGCUAGUUAUAUACUUUUAUGAAUUGUGACAAUGUUUUGCGAUUGUACACCUGGUUUGGUUUGCUGUGUGAGCCUAAGACAAUGUUCCAGAUUUAAAUGUUUUUUACUAUUCUCUGCAGUGACUUUUUUUAAUUUAAAAAACCUCCUUUAUUAUUUGAUUAUUUUGAUUCAUUCAUAUAAGCAGAGGACAGCAAUAAGCCUGUCUAUUAGUAUUAAUAAGGUAGUUAGGUAAGAGUUGGCCCUCCUUCCUGGGUCCAAUUCCAACUAAGUGAAAAGUGACCCUUGUCUGUGCUGCCUCUCAUUUUGCUGUGCUUGACUCUAAUAGGAAAAUGACUUAGGAGGACAUAACACAGACAGAGAGAGAGAGAGAGAGAGAGAGAACU